UUUUCCACUAUUUUAUUUUUAUUUUAUUUUUUAUUAUGUGUGUUACUCUCUUUCUCUCACUUGUCCUCCAAUCAUAUUAUCUCUCUCUCUUUCUUUCUCUCUCUUAAAACAAUUUCCCGGCGAAAGAGAAGGAAUGAAAGAACAAGCAAGCAAGUAGAUGAGUAGAAGAAACUGCAAACUUAUUAAUAAUAAAUAAGAAUCUUAUCUAUUAAUUCAAACUCUUUCUUUCUUACGUCUCUCUUUCUCUCUCUCUUCUGUCUUCAAAAGAAUCUACCUUAAAGAUCCUUUUUUAUUUUCUCUCUUCGUGUCUAAUGAAAAAUUUCUUUCUAACUGUUUUUAAGAAAUUUAGGGUUUUAUAACUAUAAUUUUUUUGGUUUUUUUUUUCUCUUUAAUUUCUUCUGCUGAUCGCGGAGUUUUGUUCUUAGAGCUAUUUAUUCUGUAAAGUUUGGAUCUUUUGCGAUUUUUGGUCUGGAACUGUCACUGAUCGCUGUAAUAUUCCAAUUCGUUUCACCUUAUAUUGAGGUAAGAUUAGUUUUUUUGUUGGGUUUUUUUGGAGUUUGCUUGUUUAGUCACAAGUUCAGUUGUUUGAUUACACUUUUUUUCUUUUUCUAAGUAGUGGUACUGAGUGAAGUUAAGGGAUUUAGAAUCAUCUCCAUUCUUCUGUAAGUUUCUAUUUGGGGUUAUAAUUUUAUUCUAAUUGUGCAGUUUUCUGACUAUAAUUCACUUAAUUUAGAGUGAUCAUUGAUGUUUAGUUAAAUUUGGGUAUUUUUAAUUGCAAUCCAGCUUGUUUGUUGCGAGAAAUAGCAACUUUUAGAAACUUAGAAUCAAUUAGAGUGGUUGGAUUGAUCUAAAAAUUUAUAGUUUUAUUACACUUCUUCCCUAUCUUCCAGAGUUACUAAAAUACCUUUGUUUAUUUAGUGGAAAAAAAAACUAAGGAUUUUAUGAAAAUACAAAUUAGGAGUUUCUAGACCUUGUUAAUUUCCCCAGACAAAGUAGGCUAACCGAGUCACAAAUUUUUUGUCAUAUCUGUCUUAAAUGUGAAAUGUUAUUGUAUUUAAGUAUAAACAUUGUAAUUGGUAGACAAAGCAUAACCAUUGUUUAUAUUCUUAAGUUGAAUUAUGGAUCUAGACUCUAGAGUUCAUGAACCUUUAUCCCUCAAAAGUACUAGAGGAUUCCAAUUGUAUUUUCAGAAUGAUAAUAAGCACUCUAUUUUCUAAUGUUUAAGACUAUUGCAUGCUUAUGAGUGUCAUCUCUAGAUUCGGGCACAAUUAAAGAUUAUAGUGUGAUUCAGUAGUAGAUGAUCAUGGUCCAGUUUCUUGCAUAGGACUUAAGUUCUUGAAAUUAUUAGUAUGUUAUGUUGUAAUAUUUACUCUUAUGUUUUUGAUAAAAUGUCUUUGGCCCGAGUUAGGUGCCUUUUGUUGUUUUCAGAUUAUAGUUAUAAGAUCUUAUUUAAAAAUCAUAUUACACAAUUCGUCUUAUGAAAUUACUUCUUCUACUUUUAACCGAUAACAUUUUAUAGCACCUUAUAAGCAUCAGAAAUUAAACAGACUCAAAGAUCUUAUAAGACUUCUAAAUUGAAAUACAAACACCCCAUCAGUCAGUAUUCUUACUUUUGCUGUUUGUACCUUUUGGAAUCUGUUAACUUCUUGAUGGGUUGACAGUUUAUUAUGCUUGUGGUAUAUUUUGUUUUUUUCCCAUAAAGUGUGUUAAUCCUUGUUUGCGCGCACAAUCAAAAAGUGACACUUUAUAAGUUUUUGAUUGUUCUUUUUGAAUAGCUUCUUCUUUUAUAAUGGAAGGUUAUGCAAUGUUGGAUUGAAAAUCUCCUUAUUGGGUGUGUUUCUUCUCUUUUUCUCCUCUGGCUGCAGAAGGUGAUGCGAUGGAGAAAUUUUCAGAGGAUUUCUUCUCAGUUAGCUCCAAAGGUACUCCAUAGUUUCAAUUACAGACUUGAACAAGAUUGUUUUGAAAGGUAUCAUACAUAGAGCUUAGCAUAAUCAGUCGUUUUUAACUUUUUAUGCUUGAUUUAUAGGCCCCUCGAAGAUUUCAACAGUUAGUGAAGUGGGAAAUGGGCCAUGGGGAAUUCCAUCAAGAGAUGCUUCCCAUGCAUCAAGUGAUGCAAGCCUGUUUUCGAGCUCUUUGCCCGUCCUUCCUCAUGAGAAGUGUAUGUAUAAAAUUCCUCAGCGCUUAGGAUUAUUUACUUGACAAUGCAUCUUGGAAAUUUCUUUAGCAAUUAACUGCAGGCUUGAUGCUAAUUACUUCCGUGUUUUUUUUUUUGUCGAGUUUGCAGUGAUCUUUGCAAAUUCAGAGUUUGGUCAAUCUGUUGAUGACUUGGCAACUAGAUUAAGUAAACUUCAACAAGAUGUAGAAGCUAAGGAUGCUCUUGAAGAUGUUGGUCCUCAUGCAAUCGGAAGCUUGCUCCCNNNNNNNNNNNNNNNNNNNNNNNNNNNNNNNNNNNNNNNNNNNNNNNNNNNNNNNNNNNNNNNNNNNNNNNNNNNNNNNNNNNNNNNNNNNNNNNNNNNNNNNNNNNNNNNNNNNNNNNNNNNNNNNNNNNNNNNNNNNNNNNNNNNNNNNNNNNNNNNNNNNNNNNNNNNNNNNNNNNNNNNNNNNNNNNNNNNNNNNNNNNNNNNNNNNNNNNNNNNNNNNNNNNNNNNNNNNNNNNNNNNNNNNNNNNNNNNNNNNNNNNNNNNNNNNNNNNNNNNNNNNNNNNNNNNNNNNNNNNNNNNNNNNNNNNNNNNNNNNNNNNNNNNNNNNNNNNNNNNNNNNNNNNNNNNNNNNNNNNNNNNNNNNNNNNNNNNNNNNNNNNNNNNNNNNNNNNNNNNNNNNNNNNNNNNNNNNNNNNNNNNNNNNNNNNNNNNNNNNNNNNNNNNNNNNNNNNNNNNNNNNNNNNNNNNNNNNNNNNNNNNNNNNNNNNNNNNNNNNNNNNNNNNNNNNNNNNNNNNNNNNNNNNNNNNNNNNNNNNNNNNNNNNNNNNNNNNNNNNNNNNNNNNNNNNNNNNNNNNNNNNNNNNNNNNNNNNNNNNNNNNNNNNNNNNNNNNNNNNNNNNNNNNNNNNNNNNNNNNNNNNNNNNNNNNNNNNNNNNNNNNNNCCACCACACACACACACACACACCUUGUUUUCCCCUUAAAAUUAUUCUUUGGAUAUAGGUUUGCGUCACAGCUUACCCAUGUCUUGUGAGAAGAAUCUUAUAGUUUUUUUUUUUUUUUUUGGACAGACAAUAUUGUUAUUUAAGAAUUUAUUAGUAAGCAUGUCAUCUGAUGUCACUUGUAUUUCCUUUUUUAUUUGCAGCAAUAUGGUGCCAUCAGGACACUUUACACUGCAUGCAAACACAGGGGUUUUGUGAUGAUAUCUUAUUAUGACAUUCGGGCUGCUCGGACAGCUAUGCGUGCAUUGCAGAAUAAGCCCUUGCGUCGGAGAAAACUUGACAUUCAUUUUUCUAUCCCAAAGGUUUAUACUUAUUUUAGCUGUUCAAUUUUUAUCGAUUCACCUUCAUUUUUCCAUCUCCUUGCUUAAACACAUCCUUUGCCUACUCUAUUCCAGGAUAACCCAUCAGACAAGGAUAUUAACCAAGGAACGCUUGUAGUUUUUAAUUUGGAUCCCUCCGUUUCAAAUGAUGAUCUCCGUCAAAUUUUUGGGGCUUAUGGAGAAGUCAAGGAGGUGCUAUGUUCUGCAUUUUUCUUACUUGUGUUUUCGUGUAAUUGAUCUUCCAUAUAAUUUUGUUUUUAUUUAAGUCUAUUUUGAUAUUCCUUUGUUUCUUAAAAAUGCAGAUUAGGGAGACACCCCACAAGAGACACCAUAAAUUCAUUGAAUUUUAUGAUGUUAGAGCUGCAGAAGCAGCUCUUAGAGCAUUAAAUAGAAGUGACAUAGCUGGGAAGCGCAUAAAACUUGAACCUAGUCGUCCUGGUGGAGCACGCCGAAAGUAUGUAUACACACACUCUGUUUUGGUUAUAAGCUAGAGCUUGUUUUCUUCCUCAGUUAUGUGAGCUCGUUUUGUCAGAAGAUAUCCUUAAGUUUAAAGUUAUAGUAUGAUCUGGACUUGCUUCUUUCGUUUGCAUUCGCAUUUGUUUUGUGUUAUCAAAUCUUGGUUUGGUCUAGUCUUGAUUGGGUUCCUGUGUGAGGUUUACAAAGUUCAAUAUAUCAGUUUAACUGUAAAAAAUGGUCACUGGGCUCAUUGAAGUCUUUUGCAAUAAAAAGUGGCAUGUUGCUUUGAUUUUUUUUUUUCGCAAUUAUUUUUGAAUCCCAGUCGCCCUUGCUAAUCCCAUGAAAAUUUGAGUGUAGUAACCCCUCAGCCACUGUCCUCUUCCCCUCAAAGAAUUUAUAAUGUAUAAGUCAGUCGUACCACAUGCAUUUUCAUAUACUGUAUAUGUUUUCCUUUAUCUUUCUCUUAAGGGAGUUAUUUGCUCAUGGAAGCAAAAAUGCAUAAUGUAUUAUCUUUAUACUUUUUUUUUUUUUUUUUUUUGAUUGGCAAGCAAGGUUGAGGGGACCCUUACCCCUUUUAAAUUACGUGUGGAAACUUAUAUCAACAAUCAGCUGUUGACGUGUUUCGAACGCACAACCUCUCCACUUCGUGAGAGACUGAGAGGGGUGCUACCAUUGAGCCACAGGCCCAUUCACAUUAUCUUUAUACUUGCCAACUGUUAGGAUAAUUUUAGUUACCGCUAGAACCCAAAAGCUUUGUUUUAAAUCUAGGCUGUGUUUGGUUCACCGGAAAACAGAUUCCGUGGAAAGGUAGAACAAUUACAUAUAUUUUAGCUGUUAAUAGGGAAACCAAAUUUCGGAUUAUGAUUCUCUCCCUCAACAAAAUGGAAAGCGGUUUCCUUAAACUAAAAAAGGAAACCAAAUUCCAGGGUUUAUCGUAAUAUAAUCUAAGUUCAGAUAUUUACCCCUGAAAUCACUCCUUCUUCUCCAGUCUUCCCCCUUCAUAUCUCUUUUAGUUUCUACUAUUCUCGUCUGAAGUAUGACAGUUUCCUUUUUUUGCGCCGGAAUCUGUUUUCCGGCCUGGCAACCCUAGUCUAUGAAGGGUAGAUCUAAAUUUGAGAGGAUGUUAUCUAUUCUACUUCCCAAUGAAUCAAGAGUUAAGCUGAAGCACACUAACACAGGAAAAUAGAUGGUUUGACCCCACACUUUUCCUGGCUGUUUUCACUUUACUGUCUAGCAUUCUGCUUUUUCCUUGCUACUCUUGGCUUCAAGUCCUGACUUAUCAUUGAGGUAAUGAUUGGACUGCCAUUUUCCAGCUUGAUGCAGCAAUUGAGUCAGGAGCUGGAUCAAGAUGAAACCAGAAGUUUUCUGCAUCAAGUUGGUUCACCAAUAGCCAAUUCUCCUCCAGGUAUAGUUUCCUUGGUGCUUUAGGGAUUAUUCUUUUAUAUGACAUCCCAGUGCUGUUUUUCUUUUUUUGUGAAUGUAACUGUAUCCCAAGCUAAACUUGGCGGAUCUUUUAUGACAGGUAAUUGGGCACAAUUUAGCAGCCCAGGUGACCAUAGUCCUUUGCAAGCUCUUAGUCAAUCUCCAGGUUUGAGAGCAAUUAGCCCAAUGAACAACAACCAUUUGCCUGGUUUAGCUUCAAUUUUGCCAACCCAAUUAUCAAACUCUGUUAAGAUUGCACCCAUCGGCAAGGACCAAGGAAGAAUUAGCCACACUGACCAGGUAUUUGCCAAUAACGGUUCACCACAUGGUGCUGCUUUUCCUCAUUCUCACUCCUAUCCAGAGCCAAACUUGAGUGCUAGUCCUGGAACGGUUUCUUCUUUUGGUCCAUCUACUUCAAACACUUCUGGUAUUGGGACAUUGUCUGGCCCCCAAUUUCUCUGGGGCAGUCCUACUCCUUAUGCAGAGCGCACUAAUUCUUCUGCAUGGCCAGCAUCAUCCAUUGGACGCUCUUUUACAUCUAAUGGACAGGGACAAGGAUUUCCAUUCUCAGGUCAUCAAGCUCCUUUUUCGCACCAUCAUGUUGGAUCUGCUCCAUCUGGAAUUCCUUUCGAAAGACACUUUGGCUUUUUUCCCGAGUCUUCGGAAGCAUCUUUUAUGAGCCCUGUUUCUUAUGGAAGCAUGGGUGUCAGUCACAAUGAAGGGGGUUUUAUGAGGAAUGUUGGUGCUCGUUCUGCUAUGAGUUCUGGAGUUGCUCUUUCUGGUAAUAUGCCUGAUAACGGUUCCCCUGGUUUCAGAAUGAUGUCUUCCCAGAGGUUGAGUCCUAUGUUUCUUGGUGGUGGUCCGUACUCUGGACUGACAUCCAGCAUUGAGGCAAUGGCUGAACGUGGUCGAAAUCGGCGAAUUGAUAACAAUGUGAACCAGAUAGAUAGCAAGAAGCAGUACCAGCUUGACCUGGAUAAGAUUGUUAACGGGGAAGAUACACGCACUACUCUAAUGAUUAAAAACAUUCCUAAUAAGUAUGACGAAUGUUUGAUUUCUUUCUGAAAUAAAUUUAACAUAUUUUUGGAUCGAGGUAUUGAAUUCCUUUAUGACAUUUGUCUUUGUUCAGGUACACAUCAAAGAUGUUGUUGGUUGCAAUUGAUGAAAAUCAUAGGGGUACUUACGAUUUUCUGUAUUUGCCGAUCGAUUUUAAGGUAAAUAAUAUCUAUAUUGAGCUUCAGGAUGGUUUCCUUCAUUUGGAUUUUAACUAAUGGUUUUGGUUGUUUGUGACUGCAGAAUAAAUGCAAUGUGGGAUAUGCCUUCAUUAAUAUGGUGUCUCCAUCACAUAUCAUUCCCUUUUAUCAGGUUUGAAUUACAGUAUCUUGGAACUGGUUGUUAUUUAGAUGUUUUUUCACUCACAUAUUGUGGAGUAAACACCUUGGAAAAACUUACAAAUUAGAAAUUUAGAUGGCCUGAUGCAAGUUUGCGUUGCUUGUGCAGGCAUUCAAUGGGAAGAAAUGGGAGAAGUUCAAUAGUGAAAAGGUUGCUUCACUGGCCUAUGCCCGGAUCCAGGGGAAGGCAGCUCUUGUUACCCACUUCCAGAAUUCAAGCUUGAUGAACGAAGAUAAGCGUUGCCGCCCAAUUCUCUUCCACUCAGAGGAAGUUGGUAAUCAGGUAACAUAGUUAUUUUUGUUGCCUUGUUGGUUAGCAAUCAGGUAACAUGGCUGUCCGAAAUUCUAUUAAUUGAAAUCUAUAUGCUGGACUUGCUUUGAGCGACCAACACAAGACCCCAAACUCAUAUUAGUUCUUUCUUGUUAUAUUUAUUAUUAAGAAAUAUGGGCUAUACUGGUUUAACCAAGUCAAAACAUGUUUUACUGUAGAUCAUUCAAGAGCCAUUUCCCUCCAACAACUUGAAUAUUCUUGUGAGGCAGCCAGAUGGAUCUUAUAUGGGCGAUUCCCCAGAUAGCCCUAGAAAUGAUGAGUCAGAUGAGAGAUUUGCAAAUAACUAAGCGUGUUUCCGAAGCAGGUCACCUUAUCUCAAGAUAAGGUGGUUGAUUUCUAAUUGUGGUAUAGAUAUUUCGGCUGUACAAAAUUGGGUGUGAAAAACAAAAAAAUGAUAGAGACUGAGAAAAUAGCGAAUCAAAAGAUGUACACAAUAGGCGGUGUCCACUUUUUAACUUAUGGAUGCGUGAAAGUGUGGUCUAAGAAAGCUGUGAAGUUAGUAGGUGUGUUGUUUUGUACUUUUGUGCAGGGUGUUUUGUACUUUUGUGCCGGCAGGAGUUGGAGAAAAGAGAUGAAAAAAGAAAGAAAAUGGAAUGGAGGUCUACUGAUGGUUUAUUUCCCUGUCUGGUCUAUUUUGCUAAGUAUUUUAGGUGGUGGCGUUAUUUGCAAAUAUGAAUACAUGUUUAUAUGGGUCUAUGGGGGAGACAGUUUUAGCAUUAUAGGGUUUAUGAUGUGGAUCUGCUUAUCAAAAUUGUAUAGCGAGGAGGGUAACAGAUCCUGCUUUUAUGUUUUCAUGUGUAAGAAUGCUGUCAAACUUGAAACUUGAACAGAUUUGUAUUUAAUGACUAAUGUGACUGAACAUUUUGCAUUUCAGACCAUUGCCUUGUACUAUUUGUCUUUUUAGAUGAUGUGAAUGUUAUGGCAAUUUUUUAUUUUUAUUAGCAAGUAAUGAUAUAAUGCCCUUCAAAUGUGUUGAAAGACAGUGUUCCCCUUAGCUUCUGCCAUUGGCAAUAACUACAUAAAUCUUUUCACUUUCAAAGAUGGCUUGGCAAUUAGCAUACAUUGUAGCAUUGGAAUGAAGAUUACUGUUUUUUUUUAGUCUAAUUCUUGAGAUUUUGUUAGCAUACACUCAUGUGUUCUUAUGCAGAAAUGUCAAAGCACUUGUUACAAACUUACAUCCGAUUUACUCCUUAUCAAAAACCUUGCCUCGUGAAAAUGCUUCUUGUACGCAAGACCCUGUUGCAAGAUAUUGUGGUCAGCACUUCUGAAUGUUUUUAUCAGUUGAGGAAAAAGGUAAAUAUUGUUGUUUUAGUAGAGAAAAAGCUUAAUAUUUACUAACAAAUUGCAGUUUAAUGGAUAAUCCAUCCAGUUGAUAAUUUUGAUGAUCCAUCAUUUGUGUAGAUUUCUUGUCAGCAGUAACUUUUAUAGCUUGUUAUAGUUUACACAUGAGCUGCAAAUAUCAUACUAUGAAAAUAAGAUAUGUCAAGCUUCAUUAGCCUUCUGGUUUAAAGCAGAUUCUGAUGCUGGAACAGUAAGAUUUUCCAAUAGCAUUAUACAUAUUAAAGCACACUAAGUGCAUUAUAACACAAUACCAACACAAUACCAAUGUCGGUUGUUUACAAAAACAUGGAAAAAAGUCCUUUGGACUCUCACUGUAGCUAGAAAGUAGACACUCGACACACAUGUUAAAGCACCCUAUGUACAUUAGGAUUAAAUAUCUAUAAUAGCAUAGAAUGUUUAAAGUGUCAACUCUCACUGUAACUAGACAUAGACAUGGUGUUGCUUGAGCCUUCUGAUUCCUUGCCUCUUCCUUUAGUGGUUUGAAAUUCAAUAUCAAUGAGAAAGUAACAUCUACUAGUUUCCCUAAUAUAUUGGACACUGCCAUUCAUCUUCCUUAAAAUUUUACAUGCAGCUCUUAAACCAAAGCCUUCUUGUGAAACAGAUUUAUUUUCUCCUUGGAACAUCUCUUGGACAAUCUGCAACGGAAGUCCUUGGCCGGGGUGAAUCAUUCUACAUGCACAGGAGAAAAAAAUAAAAAUAAAUAACAAUCAGCAUUAAACCUUGGAGUCGAUCCCCCCCAUCAAGUUGUGAGUUCUAUAUAAUUACUAAAGGGUAGAAAAUAGAGAAGAAAGUGUUGAGAGAUGUGAAGAAGGAAAAUUGCAAUCAACCAAAAGAGGAAUUGAGGAAAUAUUCAUAAAAAAAGAAGAAGAUAGUACCCAACCAAAUUGUACUCAAACUAAUUAAACAAAAUUACAAAAUAAUAAUGAAUACAAAAAGAAAUGGGACUUAUUCAGGUUGGUGGGAAGAUUGCUCUAAAAUAAAGAACAUAGGUAACUAAAUACAGUCAUUCUCUAAGAGAACACCUACAAAGUUUAGUGCUUCUCAAGCACAAUAAAUAUGAUAAAGCUGGUUUUAUUACUAUAGCUGCAGGAUGAUCAAGUCCAUCUCCUAACUGUAUCACUUAGAACAUAAUCUGAAAAAUUAAAUCUAGCCUUUUCAAUUUGCAAGUAAAUCUAACUAAUGAAUUGUGUACUAAAUAUGUUGUACCUGAACUGAAGAUGCACAAAGUCAUGUCCAUCCCGUAUCAACUUUGAAAUCUCAUCAACCUUGACUUCUACAUGACCCUCUGAAGAUUGAGUAUGAUGAACCAUAUUCAUCAGGAAAUUGGAAAAAACUUGCUGGAGUCUGAUUUGAUCACCAUAUAGAGAUAAUGAUUCGAUCUCUUCUGAUAUCUCAUGCAUUAGGUGCAGAUCUUUUUCUAACAAGAAAAUCAUCACUUGGCUAAUGACCGCAUUGAUCACAUUUUCCAGAAGAAACAAAUCCAUAUUUAGCUCCUGACAACUGGUAGACAUUAAAAAGUAAUAUUACUUUCAUUAGAACAACACUAGUAAAUUGAUGUUCCACUGAAAAUCAUAUUGGAUAUGAAAUAUUAGAAGAGUGAUACAAUUCUACUUACCCAUCUCCAAUACUUCCAAUAUUUACAGCCUCUAGAAUUGCUAUCAUCUGCCUUUCACAUGCAUCACUCGUCUGAAAAAGUUGUUUUUGAUCAUUUGAAACUUGAGUACUUUCCAGGAGUUUGUGAGUAAACCGUAUCCCUCUCAAUGGAUUUUUUAUCUCUUGUCGAAUGUAUUCGAAAUCCUUAGAUCUUGAAGAGUAAUCUAUUUCAUUCAAGUUCUGAUGUGUAUUACGUACAGUUUGCAAGAAGCAGAAACAACCAACAACAUGUCCACCCCUAUCAAUCCUCUUGUUUGUCGUUAAAACGGCCUCAACAUGUAUUCCUUCCCUAUCAAAGAAAGCGAAUGAGUACUUUUCAUCAUCUUGGCUGCAAAGUGUUUGAUACAGGAAAAUCAUGAGUUUGGUGAUAUCAUCUUGACUUUUGAGGCCACAAAAUUUUCCAAAGAUUUCUCCAGCAAGCGUCUUUCCUAUAACUUCACUCCUUCGCGAACCAGUCAACUGCUCCAUUGAUGUAUUCCAUUCAGAGCAUCGUGCAUUCUCGUCUGCAACAAAUAUUGGUGGAAAUAGCUUUGUAAUCCUCUUGUAGGCGGACAAACAUAUCCGUAAUCGCUCUCACUUCAGUGACAUCUUGACCUACAAAGCACACACUGACGACAUUGCCUGUGUUAUCUUUACAUGAGCAUACAUUUGUCACAAUAAAUACUGAUUCUUGUUCUUUCUGGCCCAUAGUCUUCAAUCUCAACUUGAUACUUUUGUCCUCCUCACCUAAUAUAAAAAUGGGACAACUUGUUAACAAUCAAGACUAUGGUGAAAUUGUAUCUAAAUAAAUAUUAACAAAUGAACAUGUGUAAAUCAGAUUGUUAGGAUAGAAGCAUACCUCGCAAAGCACGAGAUAGAUGAUGUUCAAAACUUUCACGAGAUUCCAAGUGAACAAGCUCAUUUAAAAGGCCUUUCCCCAUUGCAGAACUAGCAGGUAAGCCCGUUAAUUCUGAAAUUUUAGAAUUCCAUCGGUUGAUAUUACCAAUUGAAUCAACAGCAAAAAUUGGUGCUACUGCCAUCUCAAAUAAUCUAUCCAUCUCGUUUGCCACCAAAGUGAGUUUGUUUAUCUCUAAAUCAAUUCUUUUGCUAGGGACUGUUAUUCUAGUACUAUCGUUCUCCAUGUCUUGGAAAGAUUUCUCCAUAGCAUGCUGUAGCGAGUGAAUAGCAUUCAUCUCACAUGCCUCCCAAGGGAAACUUUUAUUCUUUACCACUUCAAGGAACGCUUGGAACGAUGAUCUGGGAUGCAUAUUCUUAUCAUCAUCCUUAUCCUUGUGGUGGUGCUUAGCUCCUCCCCAUCGUAUUUCUUGUUUUGUCCCAGACCUAAACCAAAGUAAGAAAUCUUUUGAUGUAAUCUUUGCUGAAGCUACGCCACAUACAACCUCACCAAGUGUAGAUGCAUUCGGGUAAUCAGCGUCGGCUAAACUAUUUGUACUACACACAGCUGAUUGUUUGUCAUUGUCAAUCAACCAACUGAUAAUAUCUUUUAUUUGUAAUUCAGUAGGUGUUACCCCCAAUACUCGACAAACCCCAUCAUAUAAAAAUGUAGCCCCAUUACAAUUCACAAGGUCCAUGAUAUUUGGGGAUCUAGUUACUAUCCCAAAUGGAACAUCCUUGAGGAUCAUAUCAUACAACAAGGCCUGUGUCUUCUGAAUCUUCUUCUCUGCCAUAUGAAAUAAAAAUUGUUGUUCCAUACUCAACUGCACCCCAAAUGCCUGCAUAAUGAACUCACAAGCAUCGCGAAUUGGAAAUGGAAUGUAACGAGGUCUAAGAUGGUGGCAAGAAACCAACCCCCACAGCUUCAAUGUGUCAUUCUCGUUAACAAUGAUUGCCAUAACUAGUGAAGCAUUCGAUCCCAUGUUUGCCAUGUAUUGUUUAUGACAAGCAUGGGGUGCUCUAAGUGUCGAAUUAACCAUCAUAAGAGGUUGUUCCAGCUCUUCACUCUGAAUAAUACCAACAUUAGCUAAACGGAAAUCACAAAUCAUUCUCACUCGAUUCUUCUUGAACAAAAACCGCGCAGCUUGAGGGAUAUCAAUAGCCGGAUAAUGCAACCCCAAGUAUGGUUCUAAAUCAGACCUCCUAAUCUCAGCCACGACCUCACCAUGUUCAUCCUCAUGAAACUUAUAAACCAUUACUCUAUCACACCCAAUAAGCUCUCUAACAUCUUCCACUACAGCAUCACAUAAUGCACCAACAUCCCCCCUAGGGAGUGACUGUAACCGUGAUAUAGCCUGAAGUGCAAGUUUCUGCCCUCGCAAUGCCCCCUCAACAGAAAAAGCAGGGUCACCCUUCCUAAUUGGUUCUAAAUCAAUAACAAUUCCCACAUCAACCUUAUGAAGUAUAGCAAGAAAUGGUAUUUGAGCACUUUCUGAAACAACAGAAACUGGAUUUGAAAAUGAAAUAUCUGGAGAACAAAGAGCUUUCAUUAAAGAUGCAGCAGAGGAUUUAGUAAAAAGUGUCCUAGCAUCAUAUCCAAGCAAACAACCUUCAAACUUAAUUGAUUCUACUAAAGUAUUAAAGCCCAACAAAUCACUUGUGUUUUCACUAUAAGCUAAAAUUCUAUAAGAUGGUUCUUCAAUAGCAAGUAAACAACCAAAAGACUGAAUAAAACCACCCCUUUGAAUCUUUGACAAGUAAGCAGUGAUUUGUUCUUUAGGUACUUCUUCAGGUGAAGAUUUAACUGAAUCUUUAUAGUUAAAAGCUUUACCUGAAUCAUUUUCAGAAUGUUCAAACUCAGCAAGAAGCCUUGCAUCUGCAUUAAAUUGCAAAACUGCUUCCUUACUAGUAUUUGGAUUAUUCAUCAUGUUUAGGUUUGAUAUGUUUUUAGUUCUGCACUCUAUAUUUAACUGUCCUUUCUUUGGUGAAUGUUGUUGGUGGGUUUUUUUUUUGAGUUCUAUCUCAGUUUUUGUCUCUGAACGGCUGAACCGACUAAAAGACUGAUGAGUGAAUAAAGACAAAGGCAUUUUUGGGUUGAUGCGAGUUAUGAACAGCCACAGGUCUUCCUUGUAUGAAGAGAUUUGGUCAUGGAGUUGUCUAUGUCUUCAUAACUGUCAAGUCUUGAAGUUUGAUAAAGUACAAGCUAGGUUCAGAAGCUCUUUUUAGGUUCUAGAAACAAACCAACCAAAUAACCAAUCAUCAAGAAAUAAGUGGCUUUCAAUAGUGACAUCCAUAUGGAUGUCUUGAAUAUGAAACUUUUGAGGUGAGAUGUCAUGUGAACUGAAGGUGCUUGGGUUUCAAGCAGAAUUCAAUGGAUAUUAGUUAGUGGAAUUAAGCUAAGCAUGUGAAGUGAGCUGAUCAUAUACCAAAUCAUAUUUAUAUUUAACUUUAUAUGGAUACAACAGUACAUGGGAUUGACAGAGUUGUUUUCUUUGCUCUCAGUGGAUGGAUAUAUAUAGAGAGAUAAAUUUAUCCUGUGUUGUUUACAUGUGAGCUGUUUUGGUGCUGGUGAAUGAGUUCAUCAUAAAAGUAUUGGGAAUGCUUGGUGUGUUGGUUACAUACUUACACCCAACUUCCAAUCUAAUCUGGUGUGUUGCCAACAACUUGUUGAAUUGGUGUGGUGUGUUAACAAUCUGUCCCAAAAAAUUUAAUUUGGCAUGAUACAAUCUGGGGACACAAAGUACAUGUCUACCCUAAGAUGUAUGUUAACAACAAAAAUAUGAGCAAUGAAGAUUGUUAAAACCUAGAAAAGUUAUGAGAAUAUAUGCACACCAUACACAUGUAUUAUUAUAUAAAAAGGCUUCAUGAAUCAACCUUCUAUGUAUUAUUGGGUCACAGUUUGUACAAAAAGAGGCUUCAUGAAUCAACAGCAUAAAAGAUUCUAUGUAUUAUUGGGUCACAGUUUGUACAAAAACCAAGUUUAUCCAUGAUUACAAUGUAUUAAAAGAUCUCAGUCAAUUGUAUUCUUUGGAUUCUUUUCCCCUUUCAUCCCUGAAACCAACUAAGGAAUUUGAACAAAACUUAAUAAAACAAAGGUUUCUUCGGCACAGCCACAAGAGAGACUUCAGAAUCUAUCUUUUUGGGCUAAAAUUAUCAUGUAGGUUAAAUAUCCUCAAUAAUUAGCUUCCCUAUAAAUGUCAUAUGAAGGUGCUUGGUUUCAUAAAAUUUUUAGUAGUCAAGCAAAGUGGUCAUAUGCCGAGGUAUAGCCCAAAGCACAUUCAUUCAUUUGCCUCAUGCACCAUUAACUCAUUUCAUCACAUAUCAUCUAAUCAAGGAACAAGACAACUCAGGUUUACUACAAUAUAUUGGAAAGAGUUAUUGCAACAUGCUAAUGUAAAUUGCAUAAACUAAAGGCUAGACACUAACAUGUCGGGGUGGAUGACAACUCGCAAACCAGUUCCUCCAUAUAUAAUGAUUUUCUAUCUGAAAACGAAGAAACAGGAAGGAUAAUUUUCAUUUUGCUCUAUAAGUAGUUAAACUACGGCAACAUAACCUUCUAUACUCCAGGCAUAGGAAACUGUGUGGUUAGAUCUUCAACUCUCCUUUGCAAAUCAGCAACACGAUCAAUUAGGGUAAAGUCUGGAGAUCCAACGAAAUUCAUAAAAUCUUGAAGCUUUGACCCUUUAACAGAUUUCUUUGCUUCAAGGGCAACUUGUACCCCUUCGUGAAUGAAGUCCGCAGUAGCUAUAAAGUCCCUUUCAGAGAAACCCCUUGUAGUCAUAGCAGGUGUUCCAAUGCGUAUGCCUCCUGGGACUAGUGCACUUUUGUCACCUUUGAGGAGAUCACAUACAAACCAAAAUGAAUAACAUAGACAGGCAGAUAGAAAUCCAUAUACAGAUAACAUUUUGAAAUGAUUAAAGAUUGCAAACUUAUAAACUCACCAGGCACUGAAUUUUUGUUUAGGGUGAUCGAAGCCAUGUCUAGAAUUUUUUCAACUCGAGCACCGUCAAUACCCUUUGCACAGAACAAGGAUGAAUAUCAAGAAGUAAUUACAGGACAAUGAGAUACUUAAAACCCAAAACCAGUUUUUCAAUAUUCUCUAAAGUUGUUUCACUUAAUUUUUUCCUUGUUUUAAUUAAUCAUCAAGUGGCGGAUUGGCAGAAGUACAUAACAUGAAACAGGGGUAACUGUGAAUCUGUGUAGAAUCUAUAUGUACCCCUACUACCCUAACAUUCCUUGGCCACUUAUCAUUUUCAAUCUCAAGGCGCCAGACAAGGCUCAAAGUUUCGCACAGUGCCAAAAAAAACCUUAAGACAGUAUCACAAUAUUUCAUAACCUAAAAAUAACAUAGCAUCCUAUUCCUAGUUAGCUACAUAAGUCCCAACUCGGAAAAUCUAAAAAUACAGUUGCCCCUAGAACACCUGAACUAGUGCUAAUGAUGAAAAAUAAGAGUAUUACUGUCAUGCUUCACGGAGCUAAAAAGUGUUAAUAUCACCACACGUACAUGUUUGUACAGUCAUGCUCUAUUGGGGGAGCUCAAUUGGGAAGGUUUUCAAGAGAAAAUUUGAUGCACCUAGGAAAGCAUGAGUAGGUCAAUACACUAAUUUGAGACACUGACUAGUAACUGUAUGGUAUAAGUUUAGCUCCUACACACUCUUUAGCAUUGAUCAUCUGUUUCUAGAAUCAUAGAUGAAAACACACUGACUCUCAGUAACCAUGACAAACAAAUGUUCACGAGUAUAACUUAAUUCGACUGGUUAGGGAGUUGUAAUAAUAGUAGUAGUUUUACAUUCCCAAAUAUUUGAAGUAUGAGAAACAGGAUAAGAGAAUUCAGCAUCUUACCAUAGGCCUAAGAUCCACUAGAACUAAGUGGUUAUCACUGCCACCAGAAACUAGUUUAUAUCCUAGCUCAAUCAAGCGACUGGCAAGAGCUUUACAAUUAGAAAUGACCUGAAUGUCCAAUCAGCGUAGUCAGCAUGAACUCAGACAGAUUCAAAUAGGAAAGAAAAUGAACUCCCUAUAUAAUGUUAAGCUUACUUGGCCUUGAUAAGCCUUGAACUCUGCAGUCUGAGCAUUUUUCAAAGAUACUGCUAACCCUCCAAUUGUGUGGUUGUGUGGACCUCCCUGCAUUCAGAUUGAUAUGUUUUGUUUUUAGGCAUUUAGCUGAACACGGUAGUUUAGCAAUGAAAAAAAGCCAACAUGGUUGCCAAUAUUAAUGAGCACAUAAAUAUCUAUUUCUAUGCGAGGACACAAGAAUGUUUCUUCCAACCUGUAAGCCAGGGAAAACAGCAUUAUUAAUGGCAGUUUCCAAAUCAACACCCAAAACAGUAUCUUUCUUGAAGAAGAUCAUACCACCUCUAGGACCUCGCAAAGACUGCAAGAAAAUAAAGGGUCCUCUAAUCAGGCAAUAUGAAAGGAUAAAAAAGAAGUAACAAAAAAGAACAUUACAACUAUCUAAAUUUUGACAGGAAGGAGAAACCUCCAAAUAAAGUUUCAAAACUGAAUUCAGCAAGGCGGUACCACAUAGUCUACAUAAUCCUCCUAGAGUCUUAGUUUUUGUUUAACAGGGUAAGAUAAUCUGUUAAAAGUAGGAGUACAAAUAGAUGGCACAAGAAAUGGGAAAGACUCGCAAUGAGCAAAGGUUGGUACCUAAGCAUUCAACUCUGAACUUUUCUUGCCUAUUACUAUUAUGGAUCAUUUGUUUAACCAAAUAAAAAUGAAAUAACUAAAAUACAUUGAAUAUUUUAAGAGCAUCGUCAUCUAAAACACUAACAUGAAUAUAGAAACAUACAAAAGACCAUUAAUUUUCUAGAUGGGUGGGCAAAAGAUUGCUUAAAUUGAAUUAGGCACGUUUAACAUUUAAGCUGAAGGAAACCUGUUAAUCGGCUGUAUUAAAGUGGUGAAGGUGAAAUUAUUCUAGAAUUUAUCAAGAUUUCAAUCUAAAAAGUAUUCAAUCAUACCAUACGAAUGCGAAAGAGAAUAAGAGUUAAUAACAUGAAAACAAAGUAGACUCACCGUGCAAAAAAAAAAAAAACAGAGUACUCGUAAAAGACAUUCAUAUAGAUGAAGACAACAUUAGUCAACACAAUUAAAAAGUAAAAACAGAAUAUGGUUCAAGUGUUUUACAAGAUACCUUGUGUGUUGUCGUAGUUACAACAUCACAGUACUCAAAGGGGUUCAAAACCACUGAAGCAGCAACCAGUCCACUUAUGUGCGCCAUAUCCAUCAUGAGAAAAGCACCUACAGAAUCUGCAAUCUUUCAAAGCGAAACAAACGUGCAGAUGAAAGUUAGGAAUGCAAUACUUAAUAAUAAAUACUGCUGAACUUCAACACAAAAGAACCAUAUUUACCUUCCUCAUACGAGGAUAGUCAAAAUCUCGAGGAUAUGCACUAGCACCAACAAUGAUGAGCUUGGGUCGGAAAAGAAUGGCCGUUUUCUCAAGCAUUUCAUAAUCAAUAAGGCCUGUAUGAAUUUGUCAAACAAACUUCAUAUCAACAAUGCCAAGCAAUAUUCAAAAUUCCACCCUCUUUUACAAUCACAAUUUCAAAAUGCAGCACCUGUAGAUUCAUCCAGCCGAUAUGGCAUAGAUUCAAAAUAAACUGAGGUUCCAGAUACCCUUCUUUUGGCAGUCAUGAAUCCAUGAGACAAAUGUCCUCCAUGUGGUAGGUCCAAACCCUAACUCAGUACAACAACAAAUAAAUAUGAAUUAUGAAACCAUUUAACAAGUAAAAUCUAAAUAAGAUAAAUAUAAUGACCCUAGAUAGGAUCUUGGGAUAAUUUUAUACAACAAAAAUACUGUACCAACCAUGAUUCGAUCAUGUGGACUAAGAAGUGCAGUAUAAACUUCAAAGUUAGCAGGCGAUCCGGAUAAUGGUUGAACAUUGACACCCCAAUUCUCUUUAUUCAAGCGAAAUGCAGCUAAAGCCCUUUCUUGACACAAUGUCUCUAGCUCAUCAAUGUACUCAUUGCCGCCAUAAUACCUAAGCCACAUUUCACAACUAUGAGUAGUUGUUGUUUCAAGUGUAAAGCCUAAUGACAACAAUGUAUUUUCUUUCAAGUUUUACCUUUUACCAGGAAGUCCUUCAGAAUACUUGUUAGUGAGACAAGAGCCAACUGCUUCCAUCACAUCCCUUGAUGUAUAAUUUUCUGAAGCAAUGAGCUCUAAGCUUUUGAACUGCCGUUGUUUUUCCUUGUUAAUUAUUGCAGAAACAUCAGGAUCUGAUUCCUUGAGACUAGGAUCUACAAAACCUUUCUUAUUACCUGCCGAUCAGUGUAUGCAGUUACAUUAAUAAAAAAGCAUUACCAUUUGUUUAUAUCAUGCAAAAUUUUAUUAUAGCAAACAAAAAUAUAUUUGAAGUUCUUGUUGAUAUCAGGAGUUGGUACACAGUGAGCUUUAUCAUUUUCACCUCACAAACUCAUCUAGUCCUUCAUAUUCCGAUAAUAUUACACUUUACGGAAAAGAAGAAAGAUUGAGCCAUGUCAUUCUUUUUCUUCCUAAGCUUUGCUUUCGUGAUAAGUUUUCAUAGUCUUGAGCAAAAUUUUCCCAUCAAUCGCCAUUAAUAUGUAUAUAUGUGUUCAAUUGAUGGUAUACUUUCGUUAAAAAUCAUAAUUCCUUUUCUUUUUUGGGUGUGUGUGUAAUAGAUGAACUGUUUCAGAAUUUGAUACUUUUGAAUGAUAAUAUUUCCACAACCCCAUAAAAAACAAGCUAUGAGAAAAAAUGAUUGUGCAUAAAUAAAAACAAAAAUCUGAAACUAUACGGAAGAAGAUUAUACCAAUUACCAACAAUCCCCACGACAAUAAAAAGUAGUAACUAUUUGCAGUAAUUCAAAAAAGAUAUAUCUCAUUCUAACCAAACACAAUGCUAAUAAUAAUAGGAAUGAUAACACUUAAAACACUAGUACUAAUACAAACUAAAUAUAUUAACACCAUCAACAUUUUCAAGAUCAUAUAUGAUUUGUACCUUGAGAUUCUUCUGGAAUAGGAACAGAUACAGAAGAAGGUGGUCUACCAGUGACCAAACUCCCUUCAAUUUGAGAAGCUUUGCAAGACUUGACAUACUCAAGCUUAACUUGAUGAUACGGAAAGCCAACACUAGUAUUAACUUUAGUAGUUGGAAAGGCACAACCUUUUGUCCAAAGAUGAUGUUGAACACCACCAGUAACUGCAGCUCCACUAUAAGCUUGCAUUUUUUUUACUUAUUUUGCACUUAUAAAAGCUUUCCUGUAAAAUGUCAAAUAGUUCAAAAAUUCAAAAAACAAUAAAAAUCAAAACUUUAAAAAAAUGAAACUAUAAAACAAAUGAAAACUGAUUUGGGGUUGUAAUAAAACUUCUUAAAAUCUCAUUUUUAACUAUUUUGAUUAAUAAAAAUUACCCAAAAUUCCCAAAUGAAGUAUUGAAAUUGUUCAUGUUGAUAAUAAAAAAAUCUCACAAAUGGAAAAAAAUGAUGAAGAAAAUUAGAAUUUAGAACUUACAGUAGCAGCAGCAGGAGAAAGAAGUAGCAGCCGUAGAGAUGACUGAUGAGACCAGAGAGAGAACGUGAGAUUUUUUGGUGAGCUUUAUAUGGGCCUUUUUAGGUUUGGGCCGAACUGAACAGAGCGCUUGCCGCCCAGGCGGCCCAAGGUGUUUUAGGUGAUUGGGAAGUUGGGAUGCAUUUGCAUAUAUGAGAAGGGCAGAAAUAUGUCUAGCAAUGUAUAAGUAUAACACAUGAUAUAGGAAAUGUGGUCUGUUGCCAUCUUUAACACCAUCCCUCCCUUUCCUAAGUGAAGGAAGUUAUCCCUAAAGACCUCAGUCACAUCCAUGCAACUUGCUACAAAUUGCAGUCUGCAUCAAGUUAACAAAAGAUGAUUAAUCUAUAUUAGGGAAAUAGUUGCGCAAAUACGCUACUAUUAAUUUAUUCUUCACCGGUGUUUCCUAUGAAACAAAAAUGUUUUUUCAAUCAAGACAAUUUUUUUUCUACCACUUAUAUAUAUAUAUAUAUAUAUAUAUAUCUACUUACAGGAAGGAAAGUAUUACAGAUAAAUCAAGCAACUUCAUCUUCCUACUGAAAGAAUAGAAAAAUGUGUUUCAACUUGGUGCAUAAACUAAAGAAGGGAAAUUAUGUGAACAUCAGGAACCAAAAAAGGGGAGAAUCAGAAGAAAAGGGAUUGUUAGCCAGGGAGAUUGAGAAAUGGAAGAAACAAAGGGAGAUGAACCAAGGUCAAGCUGAUGCUUCACAGGCUUUCGAUCUUCCAAAUUCCCGUCACUGAAUUCUCUUACAAGUUUUUAUUUUUCCUGCUUUUCUGUUGUUUGAUCUUUGAUAUCAAUAGGCCAGUUUAUGUGACCCUAUCUUUCAUUUGCAAAAGACUAGUUUGUUUUCUAGAAUUUUUCAUGCUGUUUCUAGUCUCUAUCUGUAUUCAGUUUCAAGUAAUUAAAACUCACUUGAUAUUAAAAAGUAAAGUAUUUAGUACAACUCUGGCUCAGAUGAGCAUUUUCAAAUCUAUUUGCCUAUACAAAACUUGCUGAAGAUGUUAGACAAAACUUCUUCAGAGAUAUCUUCUCCGCUUAUCUGCCCAAGGGCCAAUGCAGCUUCUCUCAAAUCAAUUGUCCAAAAGUCCAGAGGAAUCUCUUCCUCUAUGGAUGACUUCAACCUCAGUAGAGCUUCCUUUGUUCGAACAAGUUGCUCAAAUUGUCUCUGUCAGCAUAAUAACACAAUAAACAUCAGCCCAGUAGUUGCGUUUGUUGGGUGUUUCAAUACAGUGCUAAAACAUUUAUUUACAACCUAGUACUAUUAGCAUGUCUAACCAUACCUAUCCUAUAAUUUUCAGUACUUGCAGCAGUAAUUAAAAUUUGUAGAGGAUCAUCGAGCAGUAGGUAUAAUGACACACUGUAGCUCUUUAUGGUGCAAUACAGCCAGAAGUUCUGUUCAGUUACAAGGAAUAUGUUUAUGCACAGGCAACGAGUUGGUUGAAGAACUAAUCCAAAUCAGCCAAGCUAUCACUCUAAGGACCUUGCUUAACCUAUAUGAACAUGCUCUACUGAUGUCAAGUUCCACCUUUUUAUUUCUCCAGUGACGUCAAGUGUAUUUGUCACAUUUCUCUGAGCCUAUAUGUACUGAUUAUCAAAUACAAAAUGUUUUUGAUCCCAUCUUAUUUUCAUUUAUAUUUACUUUAGAAUACUUUUACCGGGCUUCUAAAAACAUAUGUUAGUUUUGAGUAUUUCAAGUGACCAGCUCAGGUUUUAAGUGUUCCUGCACAAGUUGUAAUAAACAUUGACCCACACCAUUGGGAAAAAAGGACUUCAACCAAGAAAACAAAUAGGAUCGGGACAAAAAGGGAGAGAACGAACUAAAAGCUCAAUGCAUUAUGCAUAUGUAUAAGAAACAAACCUGGUUUACAGCCCAUCGACGCCCUCCUGCUGAGAUGCGAUCAAGGCCAGCAAUUUCCAUUAGUGCAGACUCCAACUCAGGUAUACCCUGACUGUGGACAGCACACGUCAGAACAUGCUUAUUGAAAGGAUUGCCAGCACUCUUAAAUACAUCAAUGUACUCAGGUGGAGCGCAGUCUAUUUUGUUAAUUACAAGAAUGAUUGGCGCAGAAGAACCUGUAGUUUCCUGCAUUUGAAGAAAAAAAUAGAUAAACAUGUGUGAAUUCCCAAUCUAUUUUAAGCUAUACUUCCUUGUUAAAACAAAUUAAUGGAGAGAUGAUGUGUAAGAACCUGAUUGACUUGAAUGCGCUCAAGAAGUUCAGCAUCAUCAUUAGUCCACCCAUCAAGAGCACUUACAGUCAUUAUAAUUACAUCAGCACCCAUUGCAACUGCUUCCGAUCUCUCUACGCCUACAAUUCAGAGGUUAAAACUUUAGAACAACAGAAGAAUUCCAAGUCAAUAAUGGUCAUUAACAUUUAUAAAACAGCCUUUACCUAUCUUCUCAACGACAUCGUUAGUUUCUCUGAUACCUGCAGUAUCAAGAAGGGUUAUAGGGAUACCAUGAACAUUAAUACUGGCUUCAACCACAUCCCUUGUAGUUCCUGCAAUUUCUGUAACAAUCGCUCUCUCACUCUGCAUGCUAAAAGGAAAUAUAGCAUUCAAUAAGAUGUGUGCUGCUGGUCCCAAGAAACAUAGCAAAAGAAGCAAACACAGUUUGAUUAUUUAAUGUGCAAAGGCAAAAAGAAGACUAACAGUGUAAAUAUUAUACAUAAAAACGAUCAAAACUAGAGUCACAGUUUUUCCCCCAUAAUAUAUCACAAGUAUACAGAAUAAUAUGAUUCCAUGAGAAAACAGUUGCCUUAGUUAGGCAUUAAGACAUAUGCAAUGUGGGGUUGACUGCAUGCUUUGGGCCAAAUCUACAGUCACGUGUCACUCAAAAUGACCCAAUAAAUUUAUCUGGAUUUAUUCCUUAUUGUCCAACAUAUGCAAUAUGUUAACAAUGAUCCAAACAUGUCACUAAGGCAUAAGAAGGGGUAUUAUCUUUAAAAAGAAAGACAUAACGCUUUAUGCAUCGGCCCAUACUGCCAAUACCUAGAUCCACCUAUGGAUGCUAGAGUUCAUCUAAUGUCCAUAGACUCCGAUGCUAGAGUUCAUCUGCUAUAUAUAUCUACCUACGGAUUGAAUGUAUUUCUGUACAUCCAACACCUAGAUCAACAUGUUUGGUUUUCCAGGGUUGUCGUGUCUAAGAUAGAGCACCUUAUAUGCUCUACAACACAGAGCAUAAACAAUUCUGCAUCUUUGGAAAUGUGUAGAUCCAAAAGUAUACCAGUCUAAGAAAUUGCACUACAACAUAAAAAAACAAACUAUUUUCCGUGUGCUUAUAAGGUAUAGCAUAACUCAGUUAUCUCAACUCUAAAGUUCAUAAAAAAGCCAAUAUGGGCAAACAAGUAUAGCAGAAACGGCAUCUGAAACCUACUUUGCUCCAUGCAUUGAGUAGGCUUGACUUCCCAACAUUUGGCCGACCAACAAUUGCUAUCUGCAAAACCAAUGUCACUGUAGAUGUUUAAAUUGCAAAAAAGACAAGGAAAAAAGAAAAACAGGACUGUCUUGCAAGAAUUCAAAAUCAGAAAAUACGCAAACUCAAAGGUACUCACAGAUAAUAUAAAUCUAAAGUGAGAUAACCAAACCAGUCGAGCUAAUGGAUACAGCAUAAAUAUGCAUAUACGGUUAAUACUUAAUACCACACGUUGCUGCUCAAAUUUGGUGAAGUUUCUAAUAGGUGGAGUAAUUAAAAGCGAAUAGUCAAAUACACAUGUCUAUCAAGUAAACUAAACAGGUGCUCCAUAUCUGCGUGGAAUCCAGAAUGAUUCGGGGGAACUGGCCAGCAAACCAGAAUGAUUCAGGUGAAUUGGCUAGCAAUUUUUUAUAUGAUAUAUUCUCUACGAACCAACUGAAUUACUUUUUAUGAGAAGUGGAUUGUAAGCAACAUUAAAGACAAGUAGAAAAACUAUUUUCUUUGGUUAUCUACUUAUCUGGGUAAGGAUUAUUGGUUUAUCCGCCUUUAAGUCUCAUUUCAAAUGAUCUCUGUGACUCUUUAGGGAAAAUAAAAGUAAGAGUAUGUCAGACAUCUCCAGUUAAGAUCAUACCUGUAAUCCAGACUGUAAAAGCUUAUCAUAAUUUGCAGUCUCCAAGGCUUCUUCCACAUCUAGGCACAUGGCAUGUAUUUUAUCUAUUAACGCAUUGGAGUCUAAUGGAGGCAUCUCAUCAUCAAAAUCUAAACGAGCUUCAAUCUCUGUAAGGAAUCCGAUGCAUUGCGUUCUUACAGAUUUUACUAAAGCUGAGAACCCUCCCUGUAGAAGAAACGAUGUUAAUACAAACCUCCUCAAUGAACAGUUUUUUCUUCUCUCACGUGAUCAGCAACAACAUAAAAUAUAGUGUAUUCAUGUAAGCUUAAAAAAAGUUAUCACUUUUAAGAUUUAAUCGACAACAUUACUCAUUACAUAUCGAACUGCAUUUUGUUACUGUGACUGUGAUUUGAAUGUUUACACAUACGAAAAUGGUACAUAGUUAAAGCAGUAAAACAUAAUACUUCCAAAAUAUGUAUCACAUCAUUUCAUUUAUUUGUAUUUCCAUCAUUUCCAUAUUUUGUAAAAAUUGCUAACUCUUAUGAAGGAGGUCAAAAUCUGUCAAAACGAACGUACAUACUAUGGUCAAGGUCUCAAGGAUACAUUUAAAUGCUUUUAUAUUGCUUGUUUAUAUAAUGAGUCAGUUUCGAUAGCUAUAUAUGUUUUACCUAGUAAGCCUUAUACAUAGUUCCAAGAGUAGCCACAAAUGCAAUUUGAGGUCAACAUGCUUAAGUAAACUACUCAGUGGUUUCAAUUUUGUAGAAGCUUACACACACCUGAAUUCCAGCUAGUGCUGCAUCGGCUGCUGCCACAGACUUUGCUGAUAUAAGUUUCUCAAUAUUUUCAGCUUGGGCGAGGUCUAAGCGUCCAUUUAGAAAAGCGCGUAGAGUGAACUCGCCUGACAAAAUGAAGAUUUUGCAAAAUCAACAGUAAUUCUAAUAUAAAUCACAUGUUCUAAAUAAACAUAAACAAUUAAACAUAACACUUGCAACAAUUUUCAGAACUUCUAAAAAGAAUCAUGAUUAAAGAAAAUAUAAAAUGAAGCCAACCUGGUUCCGCAAGCCUCGCCCCAGCCUCUAAACAAGCUCUCAAAACACGGCGCAGACAUACAUCAUUCCCAUGACACUGAAGCUCUACUACGUCUUCUCGGGUAUAUGAUCUUGGAGCCAACAUUGGUAUUGCUAAAACCUAACAAAUAGUGUACAGAAACACAUUCAAUAAACUAUACUCGUGACACACGAAAAACACUAUCUUUUAUUUAAGGACAUAUGCUCCUUUUACAAAUUUAUCAGCAAAAAAUUUCUAUCAAAUUUUAUAAACAAAGCAGAAUUGGUGAUCAAAUCAUUCUUAACAAUUUGUCAAAUUUUCUAUUUGAAACAGAAAGAACUACUACUGUAUAUAUAUAUAACUAAAGCUACUAGUUCCCACUAAAAGUUCAAUUCUUUACUUUACAAUUGUAGCUAAAAGUGCUUGAAUUUCGAUAAUACCUCGUCGACAAUAUUUCCUCCAAGGUCAGAAACCACACCAUACUCAACAAAAUGGCUUUUGGGUCUCCAAGAAUUAGUACCCAAGUUUUUAUUCUUUUUCCCAAUUGGUUGAAAAACACGUCCAGCAAUAUCUACAGCAGAAGAACCCGAUAAUCGAAUAAUACCAACUGCACCAGGCUGAUUACCCAAUGAUGUAACAAUUGCAGCAAUAGUGCUUGAUUUCUCAAUAGUUUCAUCAUUAAUUGAACUCAAACCCAAUUUCUCAGUUUCUGAAACAACAUGUAUUUCAUCUGCAAUAACAAUGAACAAGUUAAUAAAUUGAAAAAAAAAAAAAAAAAAAAUUGAUUUUUACUAGUUGAACAGAGAGAAAGAAAGAAACCUUUUGGAGUGAAGUGAAGUUUUCUGAUUCUGAUUAGUUGUUGUUGUUGGGGUUUAAGAUGGAGAUUAAAGAAGUAAGAAAAGGGUUUAGGGUUUAAGAAGAAGUAGCGAAACCGAAUAGCAGGUAGAAUAGCCAUUUUGAAACUCUCUGGCCUCUGCUCUGUUCUCUGAAAGUUGUGUUGGGGAAGAAGAGAAGAGAUAACAAGCAAACUCUCAUGGACCCAAAUAAAAGCCCAUUUCAAAUUCUUUCCUCUCAACUUAAAAUUUCCCAAACAACCAAACACACCCUAGGGUUUAUUGUUGAAGUGAAGAGAAACAAUGAACAAUUUUCCAUUAGAUCGGUUAAGUUUACCGGAUUUAAUCCGAUUCAGUUGUGUAUGCAAAUUGUAUUAACCUGUUUACAGAUUAAUGCAUUAACUAGGUCAGGUCGUUGUUUAGCUGACCAAAGUGGGAGUUUGAGAUCGGGGGUGGCUGCACCUCGAUGAGAUCGAGAUUGCCUACGUACUCUAGUUCGAGGGAGUGGAACUUAGAGAUCAAGCCAUCGUAGUUCUGUCUUUAUAGAAGAUGAAAGGACGCAGAUCAUGGGAUCUCGCAGAUUCUCCGACAUCUUAAUGAAUGCAUAAUCAUGGCAUUGAUUAUGUAACGUGCGAGGAUAUUCUCUGUGCAUUAAUUAAGGGCACGUGCGUAUAAAGAAGUCGCCAACGGUCAUAUAGUCGAGCUGGUCUGGUCGGUUUUUAGUUGGGUCAUGCAGUGGGCAACCUGGUGGAAUGUUGGGCAGGCCACGUGUCGUGUUUUGAUUGGCUGGUGUAUGUAGUACCCCUACACAAAUCAUGGAAAUCAAUUUCAAUUUCUUCUGUUGUUGGUCACAAAGGUAUUCUUCAAGUCCCUUACAAAAGAAAAACAACACUCUUUGGUUUUUUAGUAUUUUAGAUAGAAAUGUUUACAAAGUAAAUUUACCAGAGAUUGGUAUUUUAGUAUUUCAGAUGACUCUGCUGGGGAGGAGAUUUUAUCAUUGCCUAUCUGGUAUGCACCCAAGCUAGGGCAUUGUUAGGAGGUAUUACAAAAACUUAUUUUUUUAGUAUUUUGCGAUACAACUAAUACUGUAUGUAUGCAACAAGAUGAACGGCCUGGUAUGAUUCUGGAUCAUCUGUCAAUGCAAUUUAUGUUAUGGUGCAGCUGCAGCUGAAUCUGUCAGUCAUUUGUUGUACGUGGCAUUGUAAAGCUGCUGGAAAAUUAUGGAAUUGGAUUUCUGAUCAUUUUAUGGUGACCUAUGAUUUCUCUACUGUGAAGCUUGCUAUGAUCAAAAUGAAACACCAAAGUCAGUUGAUAAAGACCAUGUGGAACUCAGUUGUCCUGGGCUGUAUGGUGAUAUGGUCAGUGUGUGGCAUCUCAGAAACAAAUAAGUCAGAUUUCAGAAUGGCAAAGGAGAUGUGGAAAACUGCAAGCAGCAAGUGAUCACAAGUCAUGUGAUGAAGUUUGUUGCAUUGUAAGGCUUUGUCCAGAAAUAGUGUGUGUAUCGACUUGGUUAUUUGCAGGAAAUGGGAUGUCAAGAUGAGGCCACCAAGAGCUCAAAACAUAAAGGUAUGAUAAAAAUCAAUGUGGAUGGUGCUUCAAGAUGUAAUCUGGGAAAUGCAGGCUGGGGUGCUCUAUUCAGAGAUGAAAGAGCGCAAUUUAGACUGUCAGUUAGCAAGGGGCUGGGAGUGUGUACAAACUACCAGGCAGAGUGUUUUGGCAUCUUAGAAUCACUUGAGAUGGCAUUGGAAACAGCAUGGAAGGCUAUUAGCAUGGAAUCUGACUCAGCAGCUGCUGUUGAAGACUUUCAGACAGAUGAAGUCCCAUGGUGCAUGAUUGCUAGAUGGUAGACUUUCAGACAGAUGAAGUCCCAUGGUGCAUGAUUGCUAGAUGGUGGAGGCAGUGUAAGAGGCAGGUUACUGUUUAAGAAAUUGCAUCCAUCUGGAGAGAAUGUAACUUUGGAGCAGAUCAGGAAGCCAAGCAAGGAGGCUGAUGAACUACAAUGCAAUUGCUAUGUUAGAAGGUCUUCCAACAUGGAUUAGACGAAUUGAAUAUGAAAACACUGUAUUUCCGAUUCUAUUGAAUCAGUGGAGCUAUAGGCUCAAUUUUUGUAACCAUGUUGUUGAGUUUGAAUGAAAUACAACACACUUGGCGAAAAAAACUAAAAAUAAAUAAUCUUAUCUUGGAAGUCAUUCCAAGCUACAAGAACACGAUAUUUACUCAACAUUGUAAGUGAUAUGUAUAUCUAAUGAUACAGUUCUGCUUCGGCUGAGCAAUUUCAAAUCUAUUUGCCGCUAUAAAACUUCCUCAAGUGUUGGACAAAACUUCUGCAACCCCAAGUACCAACGUGGCUUCUCUCAAAUAAAUCAUCCAAAAGUUCAGAGGAAUCUCUGCCACUAUGGAUGACUUCAACGUUCAGCCUCAGUAGAGCUUAAGGUUCAAACAAGUCGCUUGAAUUGUGUCUGUCAGCCUUAAAAACACAUCAAACAUCAGCUCAGUACUAGUAGUGGCAUCUGUUAAGAGUUCCAAAAGUUUGUUUACACAUUUAUUAUGACACUGAUCCCAUAUUCCCAUAUAUAUCAAAUUAGGAUAAGGUAUAGUUUGAUGUUUACAAUGUGAAAGGCUUAAAAAACAAAAGUGGCCCUUUUCCUCUAUUUUUGGUUUCAUGGUUGUUCAAUGGAAAUACCGAAAUACCAAUUGUUUGAUCUUAUCAGCUUGAAAUCCCUUUUUCUCUAUUUGGUCAGAUUGUUGUUUUCUUGUUUAACGUAAACAUCAACACUUAGAAAAUGUAGUUAGUGUUGGACAAAAGAACUCAAGAAGUUGGUGAUAUGAUUAUGAGCUGGGUUUGAUAAAAAAUCGACCUUGUGCAUGCCUACAUUUGGUUUGGUUGUGUUGCAGUGCUAGCUGUAGUAAUACCAUAUUACCAUAUUAUGCCUAUAACAGGGAAUCUUAAUACUACCAGCGCCCAUAGUUCCACCUUCAAUUCAAGGACUUAAAUCAAUCUGCAGUUCAUGUGAAAAUGUUCUGGAUACAAACUGGUAAGAAUCAAAUUUAGAAUAUACAUGAAUUUUUCCUGAUUCACUGUGCAGUGCAUAUCAACUUGUUUGAGUACAUAUGUACAGUAGAAGAAGAUAGGGUAAGAUAGAUUGAAUCAUGACCCUCAGAUCAAGAUUUGUAACAGUAAUAAUAAUAAUAAUAACUUCUAAAAUAGGAAGAUUGUUAAUUUAAAACAUUAUUAUGUGCUUAAAUAUGAGCAUUUUCAGUAAGAGAGUAAAGAGUAACAAGAAAAGUGCUCUUUCAUUCAUUUGGAGGAAUUCUAAAGAACUAUCCAAUGCCUUGACAUAUGACCAACCCUUGCAUUGAUAGAUAAUUUCAAGCCACAUGAUCAAAUCAACAUGAACAUCAAACCAUGAAAGAGUGAAGAGUGGUCAGUAAAACAUGUUAAUAAGGUCAUCAAAAACAACAGUAGACCAAGUGGCCGAGUAUGUAUGUUGGUUUGGUUGUUUUUAUCACUAAUGGACUAAUGGUCAGUUUUUUUUUGUUUUUUUUUUUCAGAAUUGAUUCUUAAAUAUAGCCGUUGCUGACUAAUUGCUGACACCAUGAUUCUUUCCUUUUCCUUUAUAAAUACCUACUUCUCUGCAGUUUUCUUUACAUCUUCAUUCAUCUCUCUUUUUUCUUUUCAUCACAUAAGCUUCCCAUUAUCAAUUCUGUUCAUUUACCAUCUUGUACUGCUCAGUUCUGAAUAGCAAUAGCUAUGACAAAAGGAAAAACAGCUUCUUCUCUUGCAUUCUUUUUUCUUUUCAUGCUGAUGUUGUCCUUCAACACAGGUACUACUCUCAAUAACUUUCUUUCAUUUUAGUGUUGCUGCAUUCUUUGAACAUUCGAGAUCUAUGUAAAUACUUCUGUGAACAUCGAGAUAUAUGUCAUUGAUCAAAGGGUUCACUCAUUUAUGAAUUUUGCAUCCUUAACAUACUUUUGUUAUGAUUUAGAGGGUGUCCUGAGGCAAAAGUGGCCUACUAUUUUACUAGUACAUCAGUAAUAAUAUGCUUAACUCACUCUGAGAUAAUAUGGAUCAUUUUGUUUCAAAUCACUGUAUUUAAUUAUUUUUGAAUGAUAGAAACAAGAAUAAUUUCUCUGCAUUUUCACAUGUUUAAUACUUUUGAGCAUUGUCUGGAGAAUUCCAAUCUUCUUAAGCUAUUAAAAUUUUCUCACUUCACAUUCCUUUUGAAUCCAAAAACAAUAAGUUUAAUGGUGGAACAAGAAUUAUAUGCUAGAAGAAGAACAAAAAUUGCAAUUCUUUACAAACAUAUUUAAUGCUAAUUGUUUUGUUUUUGAUCGAAUAUAUAUAGGUGGAUUUAUUAAGCUGGUGAGUGGUGAUCAGGUAAGUUUAAUAACCCCUGUUCCAAAUCAUAUUUGUAGUGACAAGGAAAACAUAAUCUAAUUGUUUGUUCAAUGUAUUUUGGCAGAAAACUUGGUGUGUUGCUAAGCCAUCAUCUGAGAAUUGGGCUCUGCUGAACAACAUAGACUAUGUCCGCAAUCAGGUAAUUUCGGCAAAAUUUCACAUUCCAUACAUAUCUGGAAUGUAAUCAAAUUAUUUGCUGAUCUCAUUGAACCAUAUAUUUCAAUAUUAUUAGUCCUCACAGAGUCGAAAUAUAUUGCUAUCUUCUCAGGGGAUUGAUUGUAGCAUAUUUGAACGUGAAGUUUGCCCAUGCUACAAGCCCAAUACUCUCAUAAACCAUGCCUCUGUAGCCAUGAACCUUUACUACCAGAAAUUUGGCAGGAACAAGUGGAAUUGUAACUUCACUAAUUCUGGUCUGAUUACUACAACUGAUCCAAGUAUGUACCGUAAUUUUCUCACAAGUGAAGAUUAAUAUUUUAAGCAAGAUUAAUAUUCAUUUGAAUAUAGCGAUAAAGGGAAAUGCUCUAACGAAGGUUUUUUUUUUUUUAAUUUUAUGUAUGCAGGUUAUGAUAAUUGCAAAUAUGAAUAAAAAUAGAACAAGAGCAGCAGUGAAAGGAAGGAAGGAAGGAAAGAGUAUUGGAUCCCAUGGAUAUUGAAAUUAUUCUAGAAUAAACUUGUUAUAGGUUUUUGUUUUGCAUGAAUGACUGAACUCAGUGAACUGAAUAGGGAGGAAGGAUAGAUACCUUUGUUCAUAUCCUCAGUAGUAUUAUUAUAUUAUUCUAUGAGACUCAUUUGCAUUGUGUUAUCUUCUUGUCUUUAUACUUGAUUCUGCAUUUCUGCUUGUAGUUGUAACCUGUAGGUCCAAAUGUAUAUUCCAGAUUAUGCUCUACAAACAAAUAAGUUGCAAAACAUUUACAUAACUCGGACUCCUUACAUAUUCUGCAAUUACACAAUUGCAAACCAUCAAAUGAAAUCUUGACACUUUUUUACUGACUACCUAAAUCAAUAUUUGAUACUUUCAUACUCCACCGGGGAAGUAUUGAGAAGCAGACCCAUUGGUUACUUGUACUACUACAUCCACACCAUCCUUACAGAGUCCUUAUCAACAACUUUAACUUGUAAUGCCACCACAGUGCACCACCCCUUACAGAGUCCAGAUCAAAACAAGAUUCAAUCGAGCCAAACCUUCAGUGCAUCACCCUUGCUUGAAGCCUUGAACCACUUCUACCGCAACCGAAGCUACACCAUCUUCACCACUUACACUUUAUGACCCUAAAUACUAAAUAGUCUUGGCCAGAGAAUAAAACACUGACCGAGCAAGUAUCUCUGCUUCUUGCUGAAUCAAUUCAUACUUAAUCUCCUAAGAAACCUUAACUAAUUCCAAUAGAAGAUAUCACUCUAGCUCACUCAAAAGUCAAAACAGCCAUCCUCAAACCAUUCCAUUACACCAGUGAUCAGCUACAUAUUAAUGGUGCCAAUUUACUGAUUUAGCAGGAAAUAUAAUGAUUCAUACUCAAGGUAAGAUGACAAAACUAGGUUUAACAAGACUUGAUGAAUCAGCUACUUCAUCACUCAUUUUCUUAAAUGAAUGUUAACCAAGCAAACAUAAGAAUCCUUCCUGAUUCUUCACUUUGUCUUCUUCUUCUUGGUGUCUCAAACACUACCACUACCACUGAGGUAAUGUCAUCCAUGGCUGUAGCUGUUGAUUCGUUGGACCUUCCAGAACAUAUCCUACUUGUUAUUGCUGAAAAGCUCUUUAUCAACAUUAAAGAUUACAUCCGCUUUGGUGCUGUUUGUCGAUCGUGGCGAUCUCUUUACACCCAACAUCAAACUACUUUUCCUCCUCAACCUCCUUUGCUUAUGCUUCCGUCCAGUGAACUACUCGCCAUUAAUGAUCAACAGACAUGCUGUUUCUAUGACCUGUCGGAGAAAAAAAUAUACUCCGUACCACAAUUUCUUGUUACCAGUUCCUCACCAAAGCUAUUAUCCUGGUUCUGCUCAUGGCUGGUUGAUAUCUUUGACUUCUACUUCCCCACCACUAGUAGCCCAUUUAUUUAAUCCUUUCUUGUCUUCUUCGAUCAAUCUGCCCCCUUUAAGUAAUUAUUAUUUCAUUGAAGAUGAAACUGAUUGCGCUCCGCAGGCCUUCUUGUGGAAGGUUGUUUUAUCGACAUCUAACCCCAACACUUGUCUAGUACUGGCCAUUUUGGUAGUUAUAAGAGGCUGGCCUUCUGCAAGCCCUGUGACAAUGCUUGGACUUGUUUAGAGCUACACCCCGAUUCUAAGAAUUUUCCCUGGAGACUAGACUUGGGAUACAUGCCUUGCUCGCUGACUGAUCCUACUAUAUAUUUUGAGAAUAAAUUCUACACUGUGGACUCAUUUGGAGCACUUUGGCUAAUUGAUUUGGAUGCCCCUCAUCCAAGGUUGUCCAACUUGCUACCAACUUUUGAAAGCUCUUUUCCCGGCAAUAGUAAGCACUAUGUCGUACAAUCAUCCAGUCACUUGUUGCAAGUUACUAGGAUAUCUCAUGUACAUGACGACUUUAGUAACUAUACUACUAAAUUUCAUGUCUUCAAACUGGACCAAACUCAUAGUAAAAGGGUUGAGACAAAAAACCUGUACAGACAGAUGCUACUUCUUGGCAGUAAUGCAUCUAUGUCUUUGCCGGCUUCAGACUACCCUGGCUGUAAGGCGAAUUGCAUCUAUUUUACUGAUGAUUAUAUUGAAGGAUAUCACCAUGAUGGUGGCGAUAUUGAUGUAACUCCAGGACCUCCUGAUAUGGGAGUCUUCAACCUAGAAGAUGGCAGCACUGAACCACAUUACCAAGUAAGGGAAUCUAGGCAGUUCCACCCUGCUCCUAUUUGGAUUGAGCCUACGUAAUAACGUGUACACCGCACACUGGAGAUAUUUAAUCUGUAUAUGCAUCAUUUCUAGUCCUUGCCGAAAAUAAUUCCCUUUCCCCUAUAUAUCUCCCCCUCUUUUCAAAUUAAGGUACCUGUAUAUCUGCAUGCCGACACAAUCCUUUAUUUGAAUCGCCAUUAUUCACCAGCAAGUCAGCAACAACCAUCUACAAAUUCAUCUCUUGCUCUUCUAAGCAUACCACAAGUCCGAAUUAUCGCAACCAAAAAACAUCCAAAAAAUACCUAUAUAUUCUAAAUGAUGCAUUUGUCCUUUUAAGUGCCCAAUGUGCAGAGUUGGUCUACGCUCAAGGCUCAACCAUUUGUCCUAAAGUAUGCAUUAAUGGAAGUUUAUUUUCAUAGGGAAAUAUUUCGUCAAAAUGUUUUUUUUUUCCCUUUAAAUUGCUAAAAAGCGGGAAAAACAAAAUAAUGGGCGGGAAAAAAAGUUAUCAAAAUCAAACAAAACCAUUGAAAUAACCUAAAACUACCCCUCUCUUUUUCCCCACUUGUUUCAGAGUUUCAUAGUGAAACAGCCAACAUGAAGAGAAGAAGAGCACAAUCACCAACAAUGGUGAUUUCGCCGGGUCUGUGUCGCAGUCUUCCACAUGAGUUAAUCCUUGAAAUACUGUCAAGAAUUCCAGCAAAGACUCUACUGGGAUUCAAGCUUGUAUGUAAGUGUUGGUAUAACUCAAUUCAUGAUUCUGUUUUCAUUAAAAUGCAUGUGAAUCGAUCCAUGGAAAACGAUUAUACAAGUGUAUUUCUAGCUAGUGAACCAUCUCCAUCUAUGUCAGUAGGACCCUUUGAUCUUCUUUCACAAAUUUACAGUUUAGAAGGUGAUUCACAUGAUCAAUGUGUAGAAAUUGAAAACCCUAUUGUUCAUAAUUCAAGAGUAUUGGGUUCUUGUAAUGGGUUGAUUUGUUUAAGUAAUGGGAAUUUAAUGUGUUUAUUGAAUUCAUUUACUAGAGAAUACAAGAUGUUUAAGGUUUAUAAGGAAAUCAGUUUUAUAAAGAGUGUUUUCGGCUUGGGGUAUGAUUGUGCCCAUGAUGAUUAUAUAUUGGUGCAACUUGUUUAUACUGAUAACUGUUUUGAUUUUUAUGAUUUUGAUUCUGAUGAUGAUAUGGAUUCCGAAGUCUAUGUUUACUCUUUGAAGGAUACCUGCUUGUCGUGCUCGAAAAUUGGUAACAUUCCAUAUAGAAGUUUGUAUGCUUCAGACUUGGGGGUUUAUUUGAAUGGUUGCCUUCAUUGGGUAGCUACAAAGAAACAAUGUGCACCUGUUGAUAUUAUCACAUUUGAUAAUACUGAGAAAGUGUUUUGAGAGAUGCCUCGACCUGUUAAUUUGGAUGAAGGUGCUAAUAUGACUUUGGGAUUGCUUGGAGGGAAGAUUUCUAUCCUUUGCGACUUCUAUCAGAAGGAUAGUGAAUUAUGGGUGAUGGGAAAGUAUGGUGUAGCUGAUUCGUGGAUAAAACUAGUUUCUAUGGUUAAAGGAUUUCUUCCUAGAGCGCCUACAUCAAGGGCUUUGUGCUUUUCUGAGAAUGGCAAACUUGUACUAAAGGAUGGCAAGGACCCAAUUCUAUAUGAUCCGAAAACAAAAAAGGUUUGGAACAUCAGUUAUCGUGGCAUGCGUUGGUACAAGAUAUGCAUGAGUAUAGUUUAUGUGCCAAGCCUAGUUUCGUUGAAAUCGGGUAAAUAUGUGGAUGUUGUUGAUGGAGAUAAGCCUUCAAAGAAAAGAAAGCAAAGAGCUUAUCAUUACAGGUACCUUUGUGAUUAUCUUGUAUCUCUUUUCUGUAUGUUUCAUACUUUCAUCAUGUCCUAGUUGCAAUAAUCCAACCAUUUUAUCGUUAUUAUCUAUGCAUCAUAAGACUUGGAAUUUUUUAUUGUUUGCUACUUACAUAUUUUCAUACGUGAUUGUUCACUUAUUUUUUGAUUGCGUUCUCUUCUAUACUGGUAUGCUAGUAAAUACUGGUGAAGAAAUGUCAUCAUUUAUAUACAUUACUUGUCUAAAUACUGAUUCUGGUACCUGGUGUGAUAGUAGUUUAAUACUAUUAAAAUGUGUAUAAUGCGAAUUAAACACUUGAACAAACACAUCCUAUAUGGUAAUAUGGUUAUGACUUAGUACUUAGAGAGAGAAGCACUUGGGGGUGCACCCCUGCUUUAUAACUGACAACAAUUACGAUAUCUUUAACAGUGAUAUAACACAAGACAAAGGCAGAUUUUGUCAACUGUGUUCUCAAACUUAGUAUUAUUGACAUUUAGUUCACUUCCAUUGCUGAUAAUACUGUUCAAGCGUAAUGGCUAUGCGGUCAAGCUUAGAUGAUUUUAGGCAUGACUAGGUAAGAGUAGGCAUAAGGUGCAAGGGUGUGCAUAGAGCCUGAGUGGUUUUAAUUGCAUACAACUGUAUGUUACAAACUAACCUUUAUUUCUCCAGAAGGUCCUUGGCAUAUUUAAAGAUGCUUUCUAGCUUCUUGAGGUUUUCUGUGUUAAGUGUCACAUUGAGAUGAUUUAUUAAAAGUAUAAAACCAGGAUCAUCAACAUCUUAUCCAGUGGAAUUAUCCCGUCAUGAUAGGUAGCCAGUAGCCACAAAGUCUAGAAACUGUGACCAUCUCCCAUGUUCUUAGUGCUUGGGUUUUGUUGCACACAACAUCUUCCAGUGUGAAUAUAGUAAUAAAUAGUGAUCAUCUGAUAGACCCUGCGACUGUUCAAAUACUAAACAUCUCUUGUUCAUGAUAAUUACAGUACUUUGUGAUUAUGCUGUUGAUAUCCUUUGCUUUCUUAGAGUUUUAUUUGAUAGUUUUGCACCUUCUAAUCCAUUGAUUGUGAAGAACUAUACCCUAGUUCUAAUCCAAAGAACUAGUAAACCUUUUUGAAGUGGCUUCAUAAUCCAAAGAACUAGUAAACCUUUUUUAAGGUGGCUUCAGUUGAUAAACAUCUGACUAGGUUUCUAUCAGAUGAGAAUUUGUAGAUUAAACCCACCUAUUAUGACUUCAAAUCUAUAUCAAGGAUCUAAAUUAGUUUGAUACAGAUUAAGAUUUAUUACUGGAUUUGUUCUGCUCCAAUAUUGUCAGUGACCUGUUAUAGUGGAAGGUAUGCUAUUGGCAUCGCUAGAAACUAAGUUCAUGAUAAUUUGUUGUGAAAGAUUACACAUAUGACAGAUGUUUCAUUAUUUGAGCAUAGAUUAAGCAGUUGGCUUAAUUUGCGAGUUGAUCAGCUUUCCAAUACAUAUGAGAUAAUGUUAUGCUCCUAAGAUCAAUGUUUGAAUAUCCAUAUAUGUGCUGAUAGGCCAUUGAUUUUCGAAUACCUUGCGGUGAGUCUGUUGGGUUGGCAGCCAGUAGAUGUUAAGUUGCAGAGCUUGUGUUGAUUAGAGCAUCUGUUUUGUAUCAAACUUUAUUAUAGGGGGAUAGCAUCCACCUCUGUUCCUAGUUUAUGAAUCACUUCCGUAUGGAGGGAGAAGGAUCAAGAUUGCAAGCAAGAAGCAUAAUCACAUGGGCAGAGUGCCCUAGAUCAAUAAUUGGGACAAUCCUGAUAAAACAUACUACACAUUUUGUUAAGGUUUUGUAGUUGAAUUAUGAAGUGAUUUAGCUUGACCUGAAUGGUAAGGUAUAAACAUGUUAUAACCGACCAUACAUACAUGAAUAUUUGUACCUACAUUAAUAAACUUACUCUUAACUAGCAUAUUUAUGUAUCGUAAGGUAUGUUUCUCAUCGUCCUGUUGGAAUUUUCUUCAUUGGUGAUAUAGUAAAGUACACAUGUAUUAUCUUACUGCAAAUCAUUUGACAUGUGUCAUAUGAUGCUCCUUGAGACCUUGACAUAAUUUCUGAAGCUGACCAUUAGAAAAUGGUAUCUGACGAUUUAUCCAAAAUCAGAUAGUUGUCAACAUUCUACGUGUCCCAGUGGCCCUAUCUUUCAUAUGUUUUGUUUAGAACAAUGUAGAUAACAUAAAUAUCAUAACUUAAUGUUUAUGCAAAGCUUUUUUGAAAUCUUGCAGGAAUGAGUACAUCCUUUCUGAUGAGAGUGGAGACGAGUAUGAGCAUACUCUUCCUGACAGCUUAGAAGAUUUUGACUUUGCUGGUUGAGGAAACACCGAGUAAUGAGUCAAAGAAACCAACUGUUGGUACUGUACAUUUGUUUGCUGGGAUCACUCUUAGUUUGUCGUCACAUAAUUCUUAGCUUGUUUUCAUGGUUGUGUUUCCUUAGUCCAAUUUUUCGGCUGUGUAAAUGGGGGUUGCUAGUGGCAUUAUAAAUUUAUGAACUUAUGCAAGAUCUGCUUAUAUAGAUCUUGCUGAAGACAUUUACUUAGAUGUUAAUAGAAUUGUUUGCAUAGCAAUUUAUGUUUAUCAUGAAUGGAAAUGAGUACAACUGCAACCAUUCAUCAGCCAUUUUUUCAGCCAUUGUGUGAUGGCGGUGUCCAUGGAUCUUAGCUUGUGUUCAUGAUGGUGUAUCCCAAUUGUUCACGUUAUUAUUGUUAUUGCAUAAAUUGCAUAUCAUUAAAAUCACAUUUCAUGUUAUUUGAAUUAGAUGGGGCUAACAACGAUUAUGUUGCAUGUUUACAUGCUGUGCAGUAGUUUGGCACAUCUGGGUGUGUUGUGUUCCUUAAUCUGAUUUUUAUCUUAGGUAGAACAAAAACUGUUAGAGAUUGGACCAUUAUCGGUAAUGCCAAAUUAGGUAACAAGCUCUGGUAGUCUCCAAAUUUGGCAUAAGUCAGCAUGGCAACAAAUAUUGCAAUUUGGCCUGAAUAUCAGUCUUGCUGAUCUGACAGGAUGGCAUAUCAGUGGGCCAGCAAACUGCUAUAAAUGGCAAAGAUCGCAGGUUGGAGGGUUUUCGUGGCCAGGUUGAUUGCACAUUCUGUUGUUGUCAUCUCAGCUUCCUCUGCAGCAUUUGACUCUUCAUUAAGCACAUGCUUGUAUACCACGAUCUACUUCCUCAAUACUACUGCUGCUUCUUUCCUGGUGUUCUAGUCAAAAGUACAACCUGUUGUGUAGUAUUUCUGAAAUGUUUGCUCGUUCUUCCCUGAGUUAGUUUGUUCUGUUGCAUCCAUUAAAGUCACAUUUACCGUAACUAAAAUCCCUGGUGAUAUAUCCUAAAUAAUUCGGUAGAAAUUUGGUUCCCUUGCAGUGACGGAUUUAAUGUCAGUCUGACAAUCUCCUUGAAAGAUGUGUUCUUUCAAGGCUUGUUGAUAAUCUAUUAUGUUCAGACUAGCUAAUACAUUCCAAAACACAUGACUGCUAAGUGCUAACACCUGGAUAAAAAUGUGCUUUAAGCCACAACAAAAUAGAUUAGUAACUUGGUACAACAAAUACUUGGAGCUGAUUUUUUCAUGGAAAAUUCCGCGUCUUAGUUGCCCCAAAAUUAUAAAGAACGCAGUAACAGAUCCACCAACAUGCAACCAAAGAAGGUGGAGAUCACAUAGAAUAUGUAUUAAAUUUUCCAGAUCGGGUGUGUUAGCUAACGACCUCCAUUAGGAUGAUAAGCUGCUGCUGUCACUCCACAUUUUUGAAUCGUUGCCUUAGUUUGCACUUGUUGUUAGAUUGCUGGUUGAUUAUAGUUUGAUGAAUGACAUGUUCUGAAACUGGAAAGCAAACCUACUCUUUAAAAAUUGAUGUAGGUUGUAAUAAGACAGUUUUCAACUUGUACUCAGUUUGCUAUUUGCGCGAACCAAAGAACCAGAUGUUAAUCAAACCUACAUCGUCUGUUACCACUCUGUGAACAAAACAGCAAGGAUUCUACACCAACUCAAACCAAUACUCUGGGAUAGCCCUGUAGUCUAUGUGGUAAUGUGGAGAGCCUCAUUUCACCAAACUCUGCCUCUGCUGAGGAUGAAAAUUGAGGAACAACCCUGAUAAUUGUAUAAUGUAGGUGACAACUGACAAUUAAUGAGAAUCAUUUGAUUUGUGUUAACUUCUUGUCUUUAAACUUUUUACUUCUUAUUUCCAUUCAGUACAUGUAAGUAAAACUUUAGCACAUUUAAAUAACUCUUUACAUAUACUGCACUUACACAAUUACAAACCAUCAAAUGAAAAUCUUUGGGCACUUUUUUACUGACUAACUACAUCAAUCCAUUACUUGAAUACGCGUACCGGGGGAGUAUUGAGGUGCAAGUAACCUUACAGUCCUUAUCAAACAACUUUAACUUGUUGUGUGCACCUUUGCAAGUCAUCAGGAUCCUUGAAUCAUCCUUGUGUCUGCAGGUUGAUCAAAUAUGUAUGGAUCAUCUAUCCUUGAAUGGACUUUUCACUUUAGUAUGCCAAACAAAUACACGACAGAGACUUACCUUCAUUUGCUUGCUGGACUCGGUUGCAACAAGACCUUCAACCCUCUGAACACAGGUCACUCAAAUAAUCCUGCAUAAGACAAUUCAUAAUGAAUAAAGGGUAAAGAGAAACUAGCCAAGUGAAAUAUGGUAGUUGUGUGUCCCAACUCAUAAAAGAACAUACAUGUUACUCAGCCAUGACACGGAUAGGUGCUGUGAAGAAUCUAUUAACUCUGUAACAGGCGGGUACCGUCAGACAUACUCAAUUUGGACUAGCAAAGUGUCUAACAAGGUCUUCUUCCUAGGAUAAUUUAUGUCAUGCUAUUUGCCUUGAGGAGAUGCCAAAGAAGGAAAAUACACAAAAAGUUACCAUAGAAUAAGUUGUCGCCUACAAUUAAAUAAUGAAUGGUCCUUGACGAGUGGUUGACGUCUCUGUCUCCAAGGCUUCAUUGGCAUAUCCCUAAGGAAGAGAGGUAUUGUUCUCCUUUCACCAAUUCAGCACUUAUGAACUUUGUGCUAUUUCCCUGACACAGACAAAAUUACGAAACUAUAAGAUGAUAAAUAAAUUUAAACAGUGUAUAAGGAACAUUAAAGUCUCCCGCGUCUACCAUAUAUAUCUUAAAAAGAGAAUUCAGCAGGAAAACAGAUUCCAGAUCGAGAUUCGAUUGAGCCAAACCUUAAGCGCAUCACACCUACUUGAAGCCCUGAACCACUUCUACCGCUACCGAAGCUACACCAUCUUCAUCACUUACACUUUAUGACCCUAAAUAGUCUUGGCCAGAGAAUAAAACAUUGACCAAGCAAGUAUCUCAGCUUCUUGCUGAAUCAAUUCAUUCUUAACCUCCUAAGAAACCUUAACUAAUUCCAGAAGAAGAUAUCACUCUAUGCUCACUCAACACAGCCAUCCUCCAAUAUAGUUAAGUUUGAAGCAUUCCAUUACACCAGACACCAGGUACCAGCUACAUAUUCAUGUUGGCGUGGGUUCAAUGGUUCAUAGCCAAUUUACUAAUUUAGCAGGAAAUAUAAUGAUUCAUAUUCAAGGCAGGAUGAUCGAUCAAUUGUAUAUUAAAAUCAAUAUAAAUGUAGAAGUCUAAAACAGUAUAUUAAAAUAAAUAUAAUGACAUUGAAUAAAAGCUUUAUUGAUUAUGAAUUAAUUGUUUGAUACAAUAGUUACAUUAAUCCUUAAACAUGUCACAUAAUAAUCAAGCUACGACAUUCCUACAGAUUUUAGUCUUAGAUACAAGACUCCUCUCGCGUCCUCAUUUAUAAUUUUCUGCAACUCAAAUGGGAAUUGCAUUGGAUCCAAUAAUAGCUCAUUAGUGCCAGCAAACUUAGCCAAAAAGUCUGCAGCCCUAUUUGUUUCCCUGAAGAUGUGUUUGCAAUUCCAAAACUUAAAUUGAGCUAACAAAGAAUGAAUUUCGGAAAUACAACUUCUUAUCAGUAUAGGACAUGAAGAGGGAGGCGAAAACAUGUAUUUUACUGCCUCACUUGAAUCGGUAUCUAUGUUGAUGUAAUGAACACCACUUGAUAUUGCAACUUGAAGACCUCUUAUUAUUGCAAUGAGUUCUACCCCAUAAAUCGGUAUGUUACUUGGACACAUAGCUGCAAAAGCGACGAGAGGAGCACCACGAGAGUCUCUUAGAAUACCCCCCACACCUGAACGAUGAGAUGAAAGAGAUCCAUCGGUGUUUAAGGUGCAAAACCGACCAAUAGGUUUAGCCCAUUUGAAGAAAAGAGGUUGUUGAUGUGAGUUGUUAUUAACAUCAUGAAAGGGACCUUGGAAGAUGUAGGAAAGUGGUAAUAAAGGUCUACUAGGUCUAGUUGGAGCACGACAUGGUAAUGGUAGGGGUCUAGUUGUUUGAUAUUGUGAUGAUGGAGGAGAAUAAAGAUGGCAAUGACGAGGUGGAAGAAGAUAUUGAGGAGGAGGAGGAGGAUAUAAUGGAAAUGGAUGAACAACUCUAGCUAAUCUAGGUGGAAGAUUGUGAUGGCGGCGGUGGUGGUGGUGGUGGUGAACAUCAACUGCUGCAUGCAUCAUGUUCGUAGUGGUGAUGAUAUUGCCGCUGCUGCUGAAAACUACUUUAAAGUCACUUUAGACGACGUGUGAUGAUGAUGAUGAUGAGAGAGUGAUUGAGGAAUAAUAAUAUUUCCUUCUCCCUGCUUUGCUUUCUUGUUGUUGUUGUUGUUGUUGUUGCUGCUGCUUCCGAGAACUACUUCAAAGUUUAGAUGGGAUGACGAUGAGAGAGAUUUGAGAUUGAGAUUGAGGAAUAAUAAUUCGUGUUUUGCUUUAAAUAUAUAGUGAAUGGAAUGGAUUACGGCACCGACGAAUUGAAUGUAAAUGUCUAUCAGUACUAGAGUUACUAAUUAAAAAAUCAUGUCGAUUAUAAGAAUAAGAAUACCAAAAACCAUAUACUCUUUUAACAUAAUCAAGAUAUACUUACAGUUGAUUUACCAGAACGUAGAUAACCAGUAACAAUGGUUGCAUUGCACCAACUGAUUCAUCACUCUUCUUCAUCUCUUGUUGAUGUUGAAGAUGCAUUUUGGAGACAUGAAUUAAUAUAAGUAGAUUCAUUUCAUUUAUUUCGAUGGAAAGAGCCAAGAACAGGUGGGGUUUCAUCAUCAUCAUCGUCGUCGUUUUCCAUGUUGAACACACAGAAACCACAAGGUUGAAGAAGAAGAAGAAGAAGAAGAAGAACUGAACUGAACUGAAGUAGAACUGAAGAAGAAAGACUCUCACGGGCUUUGGGCUUUUGGCCCAAAUAUAUAGCCCAGCUCACUUUACUUCUUCACAAACACAUUUUGGUUUUGAGACAUGAUGGAAGUUUGGAUCAAAACAUCAGUAAAUAAAACUUGUUGCAAAUUAAUAUUUCAUAUGUUGCAAACAAUGGCCUCAAUCUACGUACUGUCAUUAGCAUAUGUUGCAAACAAUGGCCUCAAUCUACUGUCACUACCAGUGCUCUAGUAUUAAUUAUUAUACCAAUUAUCAUCGUACGUCAUUGCCAUUGUGAUCAUCAUUGUUAUCAUUAUCAUCCUCGUCAGGUACCGGCCACCAAUAAACGAACUCUGGACUUAUCUGGAAUACCAUAAUACGCAACGAUCGAGAGUUGUUGCUCUCCCCAUUCGGGCAUCAGCUCUGAACUCAUUGCCAUAUAUAGUGAGUUUCUGACGAUGGCAAUUAAGCUAAAAUGCAGGCCCAACCUAGACAAUAGUUAAUAUAGCUAGAUUCAACAGUGACCGACAUGUUCAUAGGAUUCUGAGCUGACUCGGCUCAGUAUUUCUUAUCAUCGUUAAUAAUUCCAUUAUUCGCAGUAGUAGUCUUAGUGAUUAUGGCUGUACGCAUUUUUUUUCUUUUUCUUUUCUGCUAGCUGUUGUUGCUCGUGCCACCAUAAUGGACAUCUUGAUUGGUUAUUGUUUGAUGAAUGACAUGCUGUGAACGAAAUUGAAACAACUAAUCAAAUAAAUGGACACUUUCAGAAAUUUAUAUAUAUAGGUUGUAAGACUGUUUGUUUCCGUAUUUGAAUUGGAGUUGUUAUCCCCUUACGAUUAUGAUAUUGGAAGUCCCAUGCUAGUUACAUACAUACAAUAUAAUUAGAAGUUAAAUAUCUAACAAUUUCCUAAGACAAAAUUUCUAUUUUGCUUCAAACAAGAACAACUUUUCAACUUGUACUCAGUUUACUGCUCUUAUAUAUAUUAAAAUUAAACUACUUCACAUUAUUUGGAAUAUAUAAAUUAAGGUUAUCUAUCACCAUAGUGUUAUAGUUUCUUUCUAAGUAUUCAGCAUAAAGAUAGCUAUUAUAGAGAUGAGGAUUAUUUGCCAAAAGAAGAGAUUGUUUGAAGAUAAUGUCAUUCAAGGGAUACAGAAGAAGAUGAUGAUUUCUGACUCGAGUGAUGAUGAUGAGCACAACAAUAUAGCUGCAGAUGAGGAGGAUGCUGAACCAAAACCUGACGUGAAACAUGAAGUAGGAAGGAUUGUUAAGUAUGAUACGAUGCAAAGAUGUAUUAGAAGAAGGCCUUCAGUUAUGAAGUUGCGAGAACUAAAUGAUAUAAUACAAAAGUUUUUAGAAAUAUCAGCAGCACUGUACAUGUGUUCAGAUAUGAACAAAGGCGAGAAAGUUGUGGCGCCUAAGGGAAAUAUGAACCAUAAAUUUAAGAAAGAGACGGCGCUAGAACCACUUUUAUUGCCAAUCCAUAUAAAAGAGGCCAUAGUGAAUAGACUUGGAGGAAACAAUAUUACAUGGAUAAACAAGAAAAAUAUUGAACUUAGUGAUGUUAGUGCUACACAAUGCCGUCUUUACUUGCCUAAUGAACUCCCACAAGUUUUAACUGAAGCAGAGAAGAAUUAUUUGCAAGUUCCUGGAAAUCCACGAAAUACAUUGGAUGUGUUGGUGGUAGAUCAUGAAGGUUUGGAGUGGAUUAUACCAUUGAAGUAUUGGCCUAAAGUUGAUAAAUAUGUCUUUGGGAAAAGGUGGUUGGAAUUGGUUAAAUUGUAUAAGAUUCGAGCUUCGGUUAAGGAUGUGGUGGAAAUUUGGUCUUUUAGAAGAUUAUAUGAAGAACACGAUGGCGUGGGGCAACUUUGUUUUGCCCUCAAUUUCCCAAAUUUGAAGAAAUCCCGAAGUGCUAGUAGUGAUGGAGCUAGCACAAGUGGUGGUGCCAAUAAUGUGUCUGGCACUGGACUGGAUGGUGGCGCAGAUGGGAGUGGUACAAACACGAAUAGUAUUGGUGAUGGGGCUUCUGACACUGAUAUGAAUGGGGAUGCCAACGUAGAUGGCAUUGGAUCGAAGGAUGUGACCAUGACAUGAAUACAUGGUGGAGCUGAUACAUAUAGUGCUAUCACUCUGGAUGGUUGCAGCGGCACUAGUACAUGAAAAUAUUAGUUUUCUCUUCCUCUUGGAAUUUAAUUUCUUCUGUUUUUAUAUAGUGAUUCAGUAUGUAUAAUUCGUCGAUAUUAAUCUUGAGGUAGGGUCUGAGUCAAGUCAAUUAUAGAAUUAUAUAGCUUUCAUUCAAAAUUGCGAGAAAAUUCAUAUCAGUUUAAAAAUGUUCUGUUUCUUUCAUCUUUAUUUUACCGUUAACAAAACGUGUACAUCUUUCUUUUGUUGGGCUGCAUGCCUGCAAGCAAAUAUAUUGAAAACUGACUAUAUGGAUGCAUUGGUCAGAUGUAAUAGCUAAAAUGGUUAGAUCAUUUCCAUAAUCAGAUGAAGAACAUAAACCUCAAUUCUACUCUCAUAAUAACCUAAAUACUGAACUCCCACACUGUUAAACUAGAUUGUCACAACUAGACCAUACUAGCUUUCAUACAUAACUUGAAGAAAUACUUGCAGCAAGAUAAAUAUUACUGUACAUGUAAGCCAGUGCAAAAACCAUGACUAACCCAAAACACACCAUUUGUGUUAGUAUCACCCUGUCUAUAUAUAUAUAUAUCCACAACUAGUUUGAAAAAUCAAUCAGUCAUUAAUCAUUAUAUAUAUUAAAAAAAAAUGAUAAAUCAAUCAGUGCAAUGUAUAUUGCUAUUACCUUAUAAUAAGGUGCAUUUACUUUUAGUUUUUUUAGUUUGAGGUUUUGGAGGAAAUUGAACUUGACCUAAGAUGAGCUAACAGAGAAUGAAUUUCAGAAACACAAUGACUUACAGUAGUGGACAUGAAGAAGGAGGUGAAAACAUGCACUUCGAAUUGAAUCCAAGUGAUGUAACAAACACCCUUGAUAGAAUGAUAUAGUGCAAUUUGAAGCAGUGCUCCAUUAACGUGGAACACACGUAGGCCUUCGGCCUCAAAUAAAUUAAAAUGCCUUCCCUGAUACAAUGUUAAAGUAUAGGGUCCAACCUAAAACCAAUUUAAUUUACUAACUUUGGCUCUUUAGAGAGAUUACAUGAAAUUUCAAAUUAUAUAUAUUUUCAAACAGCUAAUUUACUAACUUUGGCUCUUUAGAGAGAUUACAUGAAAUUUCAAAUUAUAUAUAUUUUCAAACAGCAAAGAAGAUGAAAUUCACAUUCCCAUUUAGAGGAUAGGCCUAAAUCUGAGGUUCGUAUUAUAAAUUCUCUCUGGGUCUAUGCCUAUAUCUUACAUCCCUCUCUUCAAGCCUUCUUUUAUAUGGCCUACGGUGGACUCCACAGAUGACGAAACCUUGACAGGAACCACUGACCAGGCCUUGAACAUAUCACAGAGUAUGUUGUUCAUGAAACUCCACGUUCAAGAAGCUAGUUUACUAGCAUCUGAUCUUGUUGUUUAAUUUGCUUAUAGAAAUUUGAAAAUUCUUGUGCAUAUUAGAAUGAAUUGGUAUUCGAUCUUUCGCCAUGUACAAUGUUAAUGGCAUAAUUGUAUUACAUCUUGCAAAAGAUCAUCGGAACCUUUAUUCAAAUGCGUGUUGGAGUGAAGUUUCUUGUUUUUCCAUCACACUUGUACUUGUAUGAAUGGCUAAAAUUUCAUUGCCAACUUUUUUUUCCACAAUAUCCUGAUUGAUAUGAAAUAAGCUAAUGAUUUCAUUCAUCUCUGGGAAAAAAAAAAUAUUGAUAAACCAUGUCUGCAAAAGGAUCUUCAAGAACCCAAAAUAACCUGCAAGGCUCUAAUGCUAUAUAUCUGAUGUAUGAGCAAUGAACCAUCUCCUAGUGAAUUAAGCUGUGAACUUGAUGAGAUCAUUAGUCAUUCAGAGUACAUUUAGUGGUUCUCUAAGUGGUCCUACAUUGUUGCUUUUACGCAUUUACUUCACGUCGUCAUCUUCAAAGUCAAACUACAAAGAAAAUUGAAAAGAACAAGAUAAGCUGCAAAAUUCCAAAUUAUGAAAGCAGCAUUAUUGCAGAUCACUGAAUGUGUGAACCAGACUCUUCUAGUUCUAGAUAAGAUCUAAGAAAACAAAGUAAGAAACACUUCAUAAGAUAUGUCCAUCAUACAAGAAACUAAAAGAGAAUGAAUAGAAAACUACAGUUUCCAUCUGAAAAACUCAAACAAUAAGAAAUGGCGAAAAACUGGUGCUUAAAUGGAACAACGGAAGAUACAGCCAAUUAUUCAUCUCCAGUGCCUUUCGUUGGAUUAUAUACUGCUGCAGCGACUUUGGUAUGUUUAAUACUUAUCUCAUGCGAUGUGUGGAACGGUUUUCGUUGUAGGAAAUCAUGGUUACCUUGUCGAUGCUUCUCAAUCAACUCAGUUACUAUAACACUUAUCUCAAUUGCUUCGAAACUCCCUGUAGACCUCACCUCUCCCAUGCCAAGUGCUCAAGACCAAUUGUCUAAGCUCACUGGUACUAUCUUUAUAUGCAUGUCUAUGAGUUUUCUAAUGCCCUCACUUGGAAUCAGUGGGGAAUUUGAGUCCUAUGGGAAUUUGUUAGCACUGAGCAUAGUUGUAGUUACUGUGGUCAUAAAUAUCUGCAUACAAAUGGCCACAGGCGUGAUAUUUUCUUUCAUUGUAGAACAUACCAUAAUCUUGUUUUCCAUGUUGGUAAUACUAGUCAUGCUGUGGGUCUUUGCGUAUUUUGUCAAUGGCCACAAGGGAAUUUCUGGUGAUCGUAAUAGAGAUCUCAUUACAAAGGGAUCUGAAGGGACAAUCUUACAACAACUGAAACUUUGUUACUUGCAUGGUUAUUUCUCGUGCCCGCAGUUAGGAUCGUCUAGAUUCCCACAUUUUGGCACCAUGAGCUUGGUUAGCACAAUUUGUUCAGUGGUUCUGGCAGUAGCUUUGCUUAGAUCCUUUGCAUUCAAGGAUCUGCAAUUUUGUAAAGGGAGUUCUGAUUAUGGAUGGUCAAUGUGGAUUCUUGUCGGGACUCAAAUAUGUGCUGUCGUAGUCAGUAAUUGUGCAAUUGCCUGUAGAUGGCUCACACUUGCCAGCGACAUGAACAGGAUUAAAACAAGGCAUAAACGUCGACCUCACCGGAAUCCUCAUCUCUCUACCUCCUAUCUAAGAAUUGCAUAUCCUUUCUAUAUGAGAAAUUUGCCAAAGUGGUUGGUUUCAACUUUUAAAUACAUUUAUUACUUCACAAUCCUCCCAAUGAACAAGUUGGUUGCACAAUUUGCCGGUUUAAUCUCGCGGAUUCUUGGGUUCUUGAUGCAAGAAACUAGAUGGGAAAAUGAUGACAAAUCAAUUGAGGAAUACAAAUUUCUUUGCCAGAAACAUAAUGUGCGUGUCAGAGAAUGGAUACUGAGGAAAGGUGUGGAAGAUAUGGAAAGAUGGAUGGAGUUGAAUCAGAGUAAAUCUCUAGACCAUCUCAGAAGUCUGCUAUCUACAACUAAUCCAUCACAAGUGCUGCUCACAAAGGAACUUUUUUUUUUUUUUUUUUUUUUUUUUAAUAAAAUACCCUGAGGGGCGGGGUUUGGCUGGACCCCUACCUGUCCAUUAAAUUGAAAGAAGUAUAGCUUUUAAGGGGGGCUAGGCCUUACCGCUCACAAAGGAACUUAGAAGGCAAUUACAUCCGAAUGCUGGGAGUGAAGUUUCUUUUCUUUCUGUUCUACUACUCGUAGAAAUGGCAAGAGUUUCUAUACCAAAUUCCCCAACUUUAUCCUUAAUGGAGAGUGCCUUAGGUGAAGUGUUUGAAAUCAUUCAUUUUGUUGACAGCAAAAUAAAUGUUGGAAGCUUCAGUAAUAAAAUAAAACUCAUGUCUGCUGAAGUUCUUUGGAAGGACAGGACCACUUGUGGUGUCAUUGAUUCAGAAAAGGUUAAGAACCUAACGGAUGGCAUGGUUCACUUUCCAUCCGACUUAAAUCACACACUUGGGCUCAUUAGAGUAUUUGAUCAGUUAUUUGCCGUUGAUGUUGUACGCGAUGAAGCAAGUGACAUUGUUAAUUUCAUCCAAAGUAGAUCAUACACUUCACUAGAACAACUUUAUGAUCAGAUAAGAAGACUAUUUAUUGACAUGUUGCACGUGCUUCUUACUCAACUCCCAAUGGCAAUAUUCAAUCAUAUUAUCGAGAGCCCUGUUCAAGAAUACGAAGAAAGAGUCAGACUUGGCUUGAAAUUUGUUUGCCAAGUCGAAUCGCUCGAUUCUUACGUGCAAUGGUCAUUUCCUAUCGGAUGCAAUCUCCAUAGCUUGGUAAAUGCUCAAAUUUCUGCUACAGAAACUGUUCCCAGUUCCCCUAUGGAAUGCUUUGUUGUUUCUGAAGAUGAGGGGAAGAUCAAUCUUGUCUAGAGGAUGAUAACGUUUAAAAUCAUCGAAAUCAGUGACGUGUAUGUUUCUUUUAACUUCUGGAAAUAAGAUGACCGAUGAAGUCUUUUUAUGUGUAUAUAGCUUUUAUCAAUGUUUUCUUCGCAUUAUCUUGUGGUAGAAAUGAUUUUGGCAGUCACUUUAGCACUUGAUUUACUGCUACUGUAUUCGUUUUCAUUAAAAAGGCUAAGGUUCACUUGUUGACAAAUCAAUCUCUCAAAUAUGUUCUCUCAAUUGAUCUCUCGGCUUUCUGGACUUAAGCAAGAGAAUUGACCAGAACAUCCUAGCAAACUGCUAUCCAAAGUCCAUAAUGACACAAGUAGAAAUUGUUAUAAUUAUGUGCAAGUCCAAGUUCCCAAGGGAACAAAUGAGGACAACAACUAAAUAAGUAGACUUUCCAAACUCAAAAAUUGUCCAAGGAAAAAUUAAAUGUCUGAAUUACACUGGCACUACUCUAAACACGAAAACUGGAAUGGUUCUCAGCCAGAGGCCAAGCCAGUCUAAACAAAAUCAUCUAAUCCGCUUGUUUAGACAGGUUCAUAGCUCAAUAUUUCAUCAAAUUGUUAUUAAGGGCCAAGUCUGUUUUCUCCUAUAUUCUGCGCCAUACUUUUUCACCACUCGAAGGCCUCGUAAGCAUACACCAAAUACUUCAUGGUUUAUAUUUUUUUAUUCUCCUUGCUUAUUUAUACGUUCUCAUUAUCAGAUAGUUCAGUACAUGUUUCAGUUACUCCUACUCUCCAUAAUUAUAUUUUUCACUGUGGACCUGACUCUAUCCCAUCCCCAAGUCACACACAACAACUCACAUCUUUGAAUUAAAGCUCGGAAAUAAUUCUUUCCACACAGUUCAAUAUAUUGGAACCAUUUAAGAGCAUCGCACAACAUAUUACACGCACCAAUGACAGGCCAUUUAAGAUUACCCCAUGCGAGCCCAAGCCUUUAGCCUUAACACAUGCACCUCCCCUUCUCUCACUGCUUCUUUUAUUGAAGAUUUCAAUUUGUACAGGUCCAUAUUUUUCGAGGGAAAUACCACAUAGAAUAUAAUAUUGCAAAUAAAUAAUAUCUGACGGAUCUCACUAUGUAAUGCAAGUAUUUUUAGACCAGGAAUGUCUUUACGCAAUGUUUAUCUUACGUUGUGCCUUCGUAAGGAUUUUCAAACAAGAGAAGUUUCCGCAAAAAUCAUAAAUGGCAUAUCAAUGCAGUACUUCAAUAUAUUUCUUCACAAAAAGAAAGUAACAAUCAUCAUUAUACAGUAUGAAGAAAUCAGAAGGAUGUGAGCUUAGUUCAAAAGGUAGCACAAAAGGAGGGAAACAAUCCUGUAUAAAUUAUGCAUGAUAUCAACUUAUUCACCACCUACUAUGUUUGAAGUAUAAAACCUUUAAAGAGAGUGAAGAAGAUCCAAAACUGCUUUCCGUGCAGGCAUACUAGGAAUGGCCCCUUUCACUUGAACACAAAGAGAAGCUGCCGCCGCUGCAACCACAACAGAAUAUUGAGUAAAGCAUGGAUCAUGAAAAUAAGAUGAUCUUUAUCAAAAAAAAAAAAAAAAAUGAAAAUAAGAUGAUGCAAAGAGGAAUACACACCAGCAAAUUUGAGGCAUUCCUUUCUGGACUUCCCCUCAACAAGUGCCACUGCAAAAGCUGCAGUAAAAGUAUCACCAGCUCCAGUUGUAUCAAUAACUUUCGUGGCUGAAAUGAUGGGUUGAUUGAUUGGCUCUUCCCCUUCAACAAAUAAGGCUGAUCCCUUUGACCCCAGUUUGACUAGGACUUGCUUUACACCCUGAAAGUGAAUAUAUCGUCAACUCAUAACAUGUUUGUGCCAAAUCUAACAGUAUUAAAUGGCACAUCUGUAUCCGUAGUUAAUUCUAUCAUUAUAAAGAAUAAUAGUUGUUCAAUAAUUUCAUCAAAACAUCAUCAUGUUAAAUAUCAAAUGAAAAUCCAUCUCUGUAAUUUUAUUUUCACGCAUAUUUAGUGGCCCAAUUAUGUUUAAAAUUUAAAAUCUCACUACAAAACCCUUAAAAACACCUCUCCAAUAUAUUUUCUAUAACUUAAAGAUACAAAAUAAAUGAAGUGUGACACUCCCCUCUCAACUGUUGUAAACUGUAAUCACUUUUUGAGACUCAGACCAGUGUGAAGCUAGUGUUCUCAUGCAUCCGCGUAAUUCAUGCAAGAGAUCUACAUACGCAAGCAGCAACUCUAUCAUUCUUGCUGAAAAUUUGUGACGAUAGAAGUAGGACUUACCAUUUUAUAGCAUUUUACCACAGCCUGACUAAUCUGUUCAAAAUUUUCUGUCUCCAUUCCAGUCAAACGUGCUAGUUCAGUUUCAUUGGGGCUCAGUAUGUCCACAAAGCUUAGUAGUUCUACUGGGAUUGGCCCUUCCAUCCCCCCAGCAUCCAAAAUUACUGGAACACCUGCACUUCUCGCAGCCUGAAAGACAUUCAAGUUUUAAGAGUAUGUAAAACUAAGCACGACAUUAGCAGAAGUAGUUGUAUUAUGAACAAAUUUUGGACCCACGUCUCAAACUUCAAAUAGCAAAAAGUGGAACAUCAUAUCUGAUUCAUAUGGCACGGAAAAAGAGUCCAUCAAGGACAUCAAAAAGUAAAACAAAGCUCAAUCAGUAAAAAAUGCCCCCAAAACAGCAAAUACUGAAGUUUGUUGUGAUAGACGUUAUUCAAUUGGAAUAUGGCAAACCUUGGUGCAGUUCAUGCGUGUAUGUAGACUUGCAUUAAAGAGUGAAGUGAAGAGCGGUCAGCUUUAAGACUGGUUCUGGCAUAUUCAUCCAGUUCAUCUUUUGUGAGAUAUUGGUUGCAUUUCCUGCCCCAAAUGUAAAAUAAACAAAAUCUAUGCUCUAUUCGGGCGUGUACAAUGGAUGGUCCAGUAAGAGUGCUGUAUGUCCCUGCUACACUUUUUGGAUGUUACUUUUAUUGAAAAGUCUCAAAAGUAAGGGAUGUUAACUUAAAACAUAUCUGCCUCGAUUAUAUUUCCCUAAUGAUCCAUGUGGGUAAACUAAAAGUUGGCAGAAAAAGUUCGGAUCUUCAGCUUCAGUCUCCGGGACAUGGGCUUAGAUGAUGGAAGAAAUUCUCUCAGGAUGGUAUUAAGUAGUAAAUCAAUAUUGUCCUUGGGCAAGAAGCCAGAAACUAAAUAUGAUGAAAGUUUUCAUGGUUUGGCAACUAUGGGCAUUAAGGUAUGUGGUUUGUGCGCUCUUACCUACUGCGGGAUAACAAUAUACAACAUUAUUGUUGUCCUGUUUCUGCAUAGUCUGUUUCUCUUAUAGUCAUAUCAUCAUAUUCAUAUGUGAAUGUGUUUUAAGGUUUUGAAAUUGUGUUUUAAUGAAAUUGAAGUAGAGUUUAUCAUGUGGCUAAUUGUGUAAUCCCCAAUCCGAAUCGUUUAGACAAUAAAAGAUUUGGUCGGGUUGUUGAUCGUUUAUCAUGUGGCUAACAUUGUAGAUACCAAUACGCAAUGACACCAAACAAGCAAGAAAAAUUCACCAUAUUUACAAAUUACAAUCAAAAUGGAAGACAUAUGUAUUGUAAGAAUAAUCUGUAAACAUCCAGAACAAAAAGCAAUUAAACCCCAAGUUCUGACCUUUGCGACUUGAAUGUUAACUGAAUCUGGAAUCUCCCUCUGAAGCAAAACAAUCCCAGCAUUCUUCACAACCUCCAAAUCUUUCUCAUCAAAUUUCUCAGGCCAACAACACAUAUUAGCACCGCCGACAAUAAUAAUAGAGUUCUGCCCAUCAGACUGAAGCAUCACAACAGCAUGUCCAGUAGGAACAUUAGAAACAACAUUAAGAUGAUCAAGUUGAACCCCACCAAUUUCUAAAGCUUCAGUAAUCAAUCUACCAUGAGCAUCUUCACCAACUUGUCCAACAAAAUAAGUUGGAUAAGAAAGUUUACCACCACAAGCAGCUUGAUUAGCACCUUUACCACCAGCAAGAGUUUGACCAGUUUUCGCAGAAAUGGUUUCUCCUUCUUUAGGUAAUCUAUCAAUUUCAACAUAAAUAUCUGCAUUUGCUGAACCAACUACUACUAAUGGUGGGUUGUUCUGAUUUUGGGUAAUUGAGGUUUUAGAAGGGUUUAUAGAAUAUGUAAGAUUUGGGUUUUUGUUUGAAGAGAGGUUGGUUUGAUUUAGCUUAAUUUGAGAUGGAAUGUUGUUGAAGGUUGUUUUAGAAUGUUUGGUGGUGGUGGUGGUGGUGGUGAUACUGGUUGAAAGCCAGUUUUGUUGUGAAGGAGAAAGUGCCAUCUUUGAUCUUUCUUUCUCAGAUGGAAUUGAAGAAAAGUUGAGAAACAGAUGCAAAGAUUAAUCUUUAUAUAGAAAAUUAUUAAAAACUGAUAAGUAUUAAAAGAUUCCCAAUACACGUAAACUACAUAUUCCUUCAAACUUUAUCCAAAAUUUACAAUUCUAAUCAGAGUUAAACUCUAUCUACUGAUGUGAUUUCAUGUGAUAAGGAAUUGCUAUGCUUAUUGGUAAAUUUAGAAAAAAUAAAAUAAAAUGUUUCUUUGCUGCAUUUUGAUGUAUGAAUUACUACAAUUUUAAGCAGAAUAUGCUUUGUCUGCCAUAAGUUGAAUGUGUACCAAAUUUUGAAUGCAGUGUUUGACGACGAUGUCUACUGUAACAUGCCUAUCGCGACUCUUAUAUAUGUGCACAGGGUUUAUAGCUUCUUUUUUUCCCGACUAUUGUCAGUGUUCCAAGCUGCUGGAACUGUGGUAAGCUGAGAUCUGAUAAAAUUAUCUCAAGAACAUAAACCAGUUAACGGGACACAUGAAAACAUCAAGACAUAUGCCUCUGGAUAAUAAUUACUGACAAAAUUUAUGUCAAAACAAUCAUUAUUGACAAAUCUCUAAAUCCAUACAUUCCUUUUUUAUAUUGGGGCAAUAAACUUAUGCCUCAGGCAGUCAUUGCCUCAAAAUAUCUUCACAACACAAACAGGAGCCCUUCCCCUUGCCGCUCACUCAUAUUUGAAGGGCAUCUGCAAUGGAUCCCGCCAGACUAAUAACUUCAAAGGGAGCCUUGUUUGCUAUGGCUUUUGCAGUUGCUGGACAGGAAUCCGUAAUCCAAAAAUAGGCAAACGCCUUCUCCGAUCCCUCUGAGGAAAAAACAAACUAUGGAAUUAUAAUACUUGCAGAAUAUAUAACAAGAAGGUUAACAUGCAGAAGUGCAAGGAUUACCUUCAUUUUUAUGCAUAAAUCGUUCCCACGACUGCUUUGGAAACACACCAUGGGUGACAUAUGCACUGACUUUAGCAGCACCCUGAGCAGCCAAAACUUUCUGAUAGAGCAUCAAGAUAGAAACCAAGUAUUAGUUUUAUCAUUAAUUAUUUGGAUAAGAUUCUAAACAGACCAUAUCACUCAACUUCAUGGAACGUGCAGAAUAUGUACAUAAAAGAGAAACUCUAGGGUGAAGUACCGGGACUGAGUAAAUUUAUCUUCUACCCAAGCAAUCGUGAACAUAAUGGAACGUGCACAUUCAAAAUGUAAAGAAGAUCCCAAGCAUGUUCCCACAAGCUGAGCUGGUAAAGUUUGUGGGACUUCGUACUAUAGGCUUUUGUUCAAAACCCACCGACGCCAUAUAAAUCUUAAUUAUAUUAAACAAACAAAAGCGCUAGGACAAAUAUAUAAUUUCGCUACAAUUCUGAAGUACAAAUAUGGAACACGAAUAGUCGGUCUUUCCUUUUUCUAUUUUACAGUCUCUUAUCUUUUGUAGUUUCUCAAUUGACACAGUCUGUAAUUCCUAAAUGGCUGUUUAAGGGAAUGUUCAAUACCAAAAGUUCAAAACAAUAUAAAAAAACAUGUAUUACUUGUAUAUGUUAUAGAAAGACACUAAAAUAAAGAUGAAACAUAACAUCCUUUAACACGAGAAUGGUUUCCACAGAGUCUAAGGAUAGUGUAAGACCAUGAAACAAGCAUGCUAAGUAUAUAUCAAACAUGUACAAACUUAAGAUAAAGUAAAUUCCCUUUCUUUUUAUUCAUUUAAUUCCGCUCUAACUUUUUUUUUCUGAUAUAAGAUCAAGAUAAGGUAUUAAUCAGAGAAUCAAUACCUGACACUCAAUAAGGGUACCUCCUGACUGAACCAAAUCAUCGACAAUGACAACAUGGCGCCCAGCAGCACUACCCUCCUUCAGGCGAACUAUUCUCUUGUCCCCUUCACGAACCUUUGUGCACACAACCUUUCACCCAAAGAAAACAACAAGUAAAGGCAUAUUAACAAUUGGUAUGACAUUGAUCGCCAAGCAUGGUUAGAGAAAUUCAUACAAACCAUUGGAAAAUGCUGCAACUGCUUGUGGAAUCUCUUCCAUGCUCCAUCAUCUGGGAAUGCAAUGCUUAUCUGGAAAAUAAUGAAUGUAAACUGAAUUAUCAAUCUGGAGGCUGUGAAGGCAUAAUUAGGACAAAAAUUAUGAUAGAAACGUUGAGAAGGAUAAAAAUUAUUUCCAGCCAUGAUGCAGAUGUUUCUUAUAGGAAAAUUCUAGAGAAUAACUUUAGAAAAUAUUAUAUUACUCACAUUGUCAGCAUCCGGAAGCUGAUGGAGGCGAUGUUUCAACAGAGGGAUCCCAGUCUCAAAACAUGGUAGAACAUUAUCCCCGAAAUAAAAUCUUUCCUAGAUAUGUUCAAAGAGAAAUGUCCAUGCUUAUGAUCAGCUCUCAAUUGGUUCAAUAAUGGAUGCAUAGAAAAUAAUAAUGUGUGGAAACUUCAAAAAGCAUGGACAGCAAUAAUUAUGAACUAAAGAAUCUAAGUUAUGCAGAUUUGAGAAGUAAAUGAAGAAAUAUCACAAUAAAAAGGCACAGAGACAUGUAAAAUCCUAGAGUGGCACCAGCCAUCAAUACAUACAGAUAACGGUCUCAUAGUUUGGCCAACAAUUGAAAAGAUGCAGGAUGGACAGAGUUUCAAAUUGAGGGAGCACCAACGUAGGAUGGGUAUAUGCACUUGGCAGAAAUAAAAUAGCCUGAAUACAUACAGAACAUAGAAUAGAUACAGAACAUAGAAUCUCCAAGCAUUGGACAAAAGCACUCAUGCAACAAAUUCAACAAGAAAUAAUACAGAAUUACUUGCGCAUAUGAUUAAUUCAUCAAUAACCGAACAUCAACUACAUAAAUAUAUAUAUGAAACCAGUAAGUGUUGCUUGAUUCUGUGGAGUGAUUUCAUUAAGUCGAGGAACUAAAGAAACCUAAAAAAUGGAAUUUCAAACAAAAAAAUGUGAUUAAAAGUCAAAAUUAUGCAAGAUUAAUGAAACACUCCAAACAGAUGAAUAGAAACUAAGUAACUGAAUAUGCAGAAUCAACUUCGUAUAUCCAUUGUUUCUCAACAUAACGCAUCAAAAUAAAUAGUGCCAAAUAAUUAGAAGAAAAAAAAAACAAGACAAUAAGCACAAAUUGUAAAAAUAUAUCCACCAACUUCACUGGAGGAAACUAACCUGCAGAGCAUGUAUAUCAUAAAUCACUAAACUAGUUGGGCCACCCCGUGAUAUAGGAAUAUUUGACAAAAUUCGAGCCAUGGUAAACGCAGUUGCAACAUCCCCUUCUUCUUCCAUGCGCUCAAAAGAACCAGUUGGAAAGAAUGGCAAUACUAAUGUAAAAGAAGCAGCAAACAGUCGUGGUAGGGCAAAUAUAACAGAAAGUUGUUCAAAGAUAACACAUGGUGAACUGAAGGAUGCCAAAAAGGCAACAUGACGACCACGGAUAUUAUGUGCAUUGUUGAUAAAAAGGUUUGGGAAUCCAUCAGCAAAGCUCCUGAAAUUUGCAAAGGUAUGCAUCACAUUCAACAUACAAUAUCAAUGUGACUGAAAAGUAACCUUUGUCUCCAUUAGCUACACAUUACACUUUCCUACUGCAAUCUUAAAUAUUCUUACCAGAACAAUACAGAUUCCCCAUAUGUCAACAAAGACAUUCAUUCAAUUACAUUAUAUGUUAAAGCAAAAUCACAUCCGCCAUGUGGUUGACAAUGGAAUUCUACAACAGAGACAUAUCAUUCUAUAUUUUCAUAGUUCGGGACUUCAGCAGUUCAACACGACAACAAAACUUUCUAAAUAAACAUAAGCCACACAAAUUACGCCCUCUUCAAAAUAACAAUGCCACUAGAGACUAGACCUACCCCUUCCCCGCUAGGUUUAUCCAAGUAGAAUCAUGUAUCAUCUGCACUAAAUAUCUGAUAGUUUCUUGCAGAUAUGUUAAUAUCACUACCCAGCUUUUCAAUCCAAAAUGCAAUCUUCUACAAAUAUUUAUCAAAAUUGAAAAUUUAUCUUUCUAUCGGAAAAAAAAACUAAAAAAAAUACAACUUUUUGCAGUGGUUUAUAAGCAGAAAAGAAAACCAAAACCUCCAUUUAGUAGAACAAAUUACAAAACAUACAAGAAAGAUGGAGUGAAGGAAAUUAGACAGAGAGAAUAUAGAAGAGCUAAACAUGAAAACUUUCACUAAAAAAGAGUAAUAAAUUUAAGGCAAAAGAAAAAUACCCAAAAUUUAAAACUUAAAACCCACUUCUAAAGUUGCAAACUUUAAGCAAAUGACCCAGUUGGUAAUGAAGAAAUUUUUAUUGAAAAAAAGGGAUUAAGAGAAAAACCUCCAAUUUAUAGACUGAAGUUGAAUAGAAUCUGAUAGUUCAGCAAUUUUAUGAGCAAGUUCUUCAGACUCAACACAGUAAAACAGAAGAACAUCUUUCUUAUUUGGCGUCUCCAUUCUCUCUCUCUCUCUCUUCUUCUUCUUCUUCUCUCUCUCUCUUUCUUCUCUCACUGUGUUUCGGCUUUUGCUUUUGUUUUGCUUUUUCCACCUUGAUGACUGUGGGGAAUGAAGCAUAUUUGGGCAUUUGGGCGUACUCAUUAAAGUUUUAAGUUAUAUUAGCACCCAGAGUCUUAAAACUAAACAAAGUUUGUAACGUAUUACGUAUAUGACCCAAACAUUGUCAUUGAACAUGUGAAUGUGAGUGCAAAUAGCCUACCUACAAAUUCCUACAUGUAGCAUGCCAUUAUGCUGCUAAUGCUUACAUGAAACGAAAUAUUAGUGGUUUUUUUUUUUUUUUUAUAAUGAAAUAUUAGUGUUUGUGUUUCUUUUAUGCCACAUGUUUCAUAAUUUAUUGGCCAAUAGACCUAAUUAUAUCAUAUAGAUUUCUUAAGGACCAUAUAGUAUCCAAGAAAAUUAAGGUCUUCGGUAUGAAAGGAACUUUAGUACUUUACCUAUGUCUCGUUCUUUUCAUUUCCCACGAUACUAAAAAUUUCCAAUGGUUUCCAUGCAGUCUUUUGAUUAAUUAUGUGCAUUAAAAUUAGCCAUCUUCCAGGUGCAGGGUCGCGCUAAGAUCUUAAUGGUCCAAUGCUAAUGAAAAACUUUGGCCUCUAUAUGUUAAGCAUGAUUUAUAUCUAAAUUAUAAUCAGCAAAUGGUGCAUAAUUUGACUAGGACCGAUUAUAAAAUGACUAGGACUGAUUUGUAUUACGUCGGAUAUAAUUAAAGCGGUGACUAGGAUUAUGUGAUGAUUAGGAUCGAAUCAGAUUAUCAAUUCUACUAAACCUUUCUUCCUCUUUCCUAAACUCGUUAUCUCUCUCUCUCUCCCUCUCAUCCUCUAAAAAUCUAAAAUCUAAAUCUCUCUCACUGUCUCUAUUUCUUUCUCAGUUGAUGACCAUAACUCCCAGUCUUUUCGCUUUAAUUAUAUCCGACGUAAUACAAAUCAGUCCUAGUCAUUUUAUAAUCGGUCCUAGUCAAAUUAUGCACCCUUUGCUGAUUAUAAUUUAGAUUACAAAAGAAAAGCUCUAAUUAACUGACAACUUCCAUUUUAACAUCAAUGUAAUGUAUCUAUGGUGGAAUUUAAAUCCGAUCAAUUUUGACUUUUGAGUGUAAACUUAGUUUGUAUUUUCACUCAAUUGAUGACGCAGAGAGAAAAGUUUACCCUUUGCAAAUAAGGUAGGAGGAAGAAAAAUAGGUUUACCCUUUGCAAAUAAGGAUGACGCAGAGAGAUUUAAAUCGGUCUUUUGGCCCUUAUAUCAUGCUUUUAGUAAUCUGUAAUGUACGAGGCUCCAAAUUGCGUACAAAUAAACAGUCCCAUGCCAAGCCAAUUACUUGGUGGAUUUAGAAUCUACUACCUGCAGCGGUUCUUUGGGUUAUAUGGAAAAAUAUAGAAAUGAUCCUAUCUGGAGCUUCACCCAAUUGUAUAAGUUGCCCAGAGUUUGUAAUCCUUUUUACAAAUUAAUAAGACUUUUCCUUAUAAAGAAAAAAAAAACUAUUAACCAAGUUCCUAUAUCUUAUGUUAUCUCUAUACGGCUAGAUUCGUUCAUCACAAAGAGGUGGAUGAUCAGCUGUUUUUAUCUUCAAUUCUUAUCUACAAUACAGGUAUGAACUCAUCACAUUUUUUAUCUUAAUAUUGUGUCCCUAUUUUGCUCACUGGAUAUCAGGAUACAUCCUAUAUCAAGUUAUUAAUUGAUGUCCUUAUAGCAAUAAAAUAUUAGUAAUUAAUUAUUGGAAUUGAGUAGUAAAGAGCAUUUAGAUCCUAUUAUUGGACUUAAAUAUUGUCUGAAUAGAUGUUUUUGAGUUCAUAGAAAUCAAAUUAACAUGUCCACAAUCCAUUUUAUGGUAGUUUGUUUUCGUUGUGUUUGAGAAGUAUCAGUUUUAUUCAUUGCUAUAUGGGGGUUAUAUUCAUUGUGUUUGCCUUCAUUGUUAGUUUAAUUUCAGAGACCUGGAGAAUAUAAAUAUUGUCGUGCAGGUAAAGAUUGGCUUCGAUUAGUUGCAAUGAGGUGGCAAGAAUAAGAUUCAACAGCUUGCGAUCUUUGAAAAAGUGUAUGGAAGAAUGGCCGGAGUUGAGCAAAAGAGAUUUUUGCGGGAAAGUUUGGUCCAUUUUUCCUUAUGUCGUGGUUUGGUUCAUUUGGUCACUCAGGAAUGACAUUAUCUUUAGGGAAAAGACUGCAGGUUUAUAUACAUCAGUUCUGAGUAUCAAAGUUAUGGUGUGGGUGUGGUUACAGAUGGAUAAUCGAGCGAUGCAAUUAGAGAAAAUAGAUCCUUUGCGUAGCAGGUGAUUGGCAAGGCAGUAUGGCUGAAAGGAGGGACUAAGGACUGUUUUGUGCAGCUUUGAAACCGAGCAACAUGGAUUAGCAGCAACAUUUAAAGUUCGGCACACCUUCAGGGGAGUUGCCUGUUUCUGUCUGUUAAAAGUGCUGAAUAGACAACUGAGAUGCAAAACAGGGGACUGAAGAGGUCAUUAUUCUUUUCUUUUGAUGUCAAUACUAUGCCUUUCCAAAGGGUUCAGUGCUGGGUUUCAUCCAUUUGAUUGUAAUCUGGAGGCCUGUCUCCAGGGAUGUUAUGAUGUACUGUCAUGUUGAUCAGGGGUGUAGGUUACAACUUUUAAUGAUUAAUACUAUAGCUAUACUGAAUAAGCACAAACAAAGGGGUAAAUUAAAAGUACAAAAGACCAUAAAUUAAUUAUUGAUUGCGUAUAUAGUUUUGAGAGGUGCAAUUUCCUUAAGUAGAUUGUCAAUUCUGAAAAGCCAGGCGGGGCUGAGGCAAUAUUUUGGUAAAUUUUUUAAACCUACAAUUUCAAAAAAUUUGGCAAAUUUUUUACUAGGAUUAAUUUUCGCAAAUUGUAAGGUUUACUUCUAGAAGAAGAAGAUAUUUGUUUUGCAGGACUUAUCCGAUUUGCGAGUAAGAUAGAAUUUGCUUCAGACGAGAGAACGACUCACGAUUACCUGUUUAAUGAGCAAAUGUAUAUUAUAGCUAAUUGCCCUCCAUUGGUCUAGCGUGUGACAUAUAUUAUAGUUAAUUGCCCUCCAUUUGCUAAGAUGCACUGUGUGUUCUGAUCUUCAGUAGUCAUUUUUAUUUUGUUUUGAUCUAAUUAGUAAGCUAAUUGCAUGUUCUUCUAAUAUGUCUUCUGUUUCCGAUGUCAUUUUGAAGAUAUCCUUUUCUAAUUUGCCUUCUGUUUUCUGAUCCAAUUAGUAAGCUAAUUCCAUUUUCUAAUAAGUUGGUGUGAUCUUCCGUUUCUAUUAAUUUUACACUGUUAGUAAGCUAAUUGGAUCUUCUUCUAAUAUUCUUCUAUCUGUUGCAGAUCUCAAACAGCCACAGUUCUUUGCUUUCAAUCAAUUUAGUUGGUCUUAUAGAGGUUUGCUUCUCAUCCUGUUUUUAUCUUUUAGCUCCCUUUCCUUUACUACAACUUAUUUGAAGAGUAUGAUCUAGAUUAACAACAAAUGUUAUUGAUUGUUUUUCUCUGCGGUUAUGUUGCAUGGCACUUCAAAAAAAAAAAAAAAAAAAAAAAUCCAAUUUAACGCGGUGACAGAAGUACUGGCUAAAUACAAAAUUAACGAAAUGUAGCAUGUCAAAUUACUAUUUUCAAGAUAGUGCAGUGUAGCAUUACUUCAAUGUACUUAUGCAAUGUAGCAUUAGGAAUCACAUGUAGCUAACUUUGGUUCACAAAGAUGGCGGCUAAAGAAAAUCAUAAAACAGAAUGUUGUCCGUCUCCUUGCGCUUUGUUAUCACACUAAGGGAUAAUAAAAAGUUAAUUUUGGCCUUAGAUCUUCUAUAAUAAUUCCACAAGUAAACGCUAACAUCAUACAUAGGGAAUAAAACUAAAAACAGAAGGUCCAUGAUGAAAAAAAAUUUAGAAAACCUUUAGCAUAUACCAUUUUCUCUAUCUCUGACACAAAACGACCUACAUAAAAUUUUUAUACGAAAUAUAUUCUACACCUGAUCAUAGUGCAAGUAUAUCUACUUAUGUUGUAGAUGAAUAGUCCAUAGGGUACAAUACAACGAAAACUAAGGGAUAUCAAUAAAGUGCAGACAAUGAAAUGUAGUUGUUAGAUUUAUCUCAGUUUUUUUUUUCCAAUUCAAAACAAAUUUUAUUAAUAAAAAUUUGAGGAAUUAUACAAAGUUAGAGGACAAGUGCGCUACAAACUGCGCUGCAAGCCCUUUUUAAAUAGCAAAACCAAUCCUACGAAAUACAUAUUCAUUAAAACCCACCGUCAUCACAACGCUACAAACUACGCUGCAAUCCUACUUUUUUUUUUCUUCUGUUCGUUGGUUUAUGACUAGGCUCUCCACUCUAAAUCUACAUCUAUUAAUAUUUGCUUUAUUAAGAAUCCUUAAGUGUACAAAUUUGUAUGAUCCUUUAUUAUUAUUGAUUGUUUUUAUCUAGGUUUGAAACAUGUACUUUAGUUUUUUGUUCUUUGUAAGACGUAAUUUAUAAUCCUAUUAAUUUUUUUGUAGCUCCAAGGAUAAACAUGAUUUAGACUAACGAUCUGCAGUAUUAGAAAUAACUGCAAUGCCUAUUGACAUUGGAUGGAAGUUGUUGACAUGCUCCAAUUUCAUGAAUGUGUUUUACUAGACCUCCCUGAAUUAGAAAUGUGAAGCUCCUAAUUAUUACCUAAUGUUCCUAUUAAUUGUUUAAAAAAAUCCAAUAAGAGUUACAACUAUAGAGUUUUAUUACAUAAGUUAUAUUACAUAAGAUUCAGCUCGUGGAUAACUACUCACUUUGUCCUGAUGAUCUUACUGCAUUUUCAACUGUUCCAUGCUUUGAUACAAAUGCGUUUGAUGAUGUAAGCACUCUAAGCAGUAAGGAUGUGAAUAGGAACACUAGGGGCUGGCAAUGUUUUAAUGUUGAGGAUGUUGUCCAACUGAAUAAGUGCGACAAAUGAUAGCUUGAAAAUAGACCAAUGAAAGCAGUUGUGGAUGUUCACAGGUAGACUUGGGAAGUGUUGAAUUACAAGGACCUUACACUUAGUUUAAAGUAGACAAUACUAUAGGUUCAUGUAAUAGUAAUAUGUUCAUUUAACUGACAGGACAAGGCUUGCCUUAUGCUCAACAUGAUCCUAGGCAUGACGUGGGUUGAGAUCUCUUAUAAACGCUCUUAUUUUUCAAAAUAUUUUUUGCUUGGUGGGACUUUUGUUUUAUUGGAGAAGUGCUUCCAUGGAAAAUUCAGUUCAAUUGACUGCAUAUCAGCCUCGCUGGGUAUUGAAGUUUGGUUUGGAUCUUCCAAAUUUUCUGGAGAAGUUGUUGGCCUGUAUUUACAUGUCUUUCUAAUCAUCUAAACAGUCUUCUGGUGCGUUCUAUUUCAUUCAAAUCAAUGCAACUUAUCUACUGAGUAUACAAUUCUAUGGAUGAGUUUAACUUCUAUUAACUUACGUAAUUUGUGGCAGGUGUUUCUUUUGGAUGGUGAGUCUAUUUUGGAAGUGAUCAUUGGUUGCAUUCUCUUUUCUCUCAACAAACAAGUUUCCUUGCCCAAUGCAAGUCUUGAUGAUCCCAUACCACCAGUGGGAGGACUAACUAACGCUCUCAGUAGGUUGUAGUCCAGUAGACCCCCUCAGAGAAUUAACAGAAGUUUCUAAGGUCAGUUGUGCUAGCAAAAAAGGUUUAUAGAUGGAAAUGUAUUGAUAUGUUUAAACUUUCUCAACACAAUUCAAUUUCUUUCAAUUUGAUGUUGCAGGGAGUUACAAAGCAGAUAGGAGGGCAUGUGCAUGAACUAGCUCCUAAAGUUGAUGAAUGUACGUGUGGGGUGAUCAGUGGUUCUAAUUCAUGACUAUUUGAGUUGGAUCUCCACUACAUUGGUCCAGUGGACGGUCACAACGUAGAUAAUCAUAUACACCUUACCUGGUAGGAAACAAUUUACUUCAACAUGUUUGAAGAAAGAGUUUGUCAUUAUUAAGCAAUUUAGGUGCUCUUACUACAUCCAAGGUUGGAAACCCUCUAGACACAAUGUCUGGAGUAGUUUGAGAGUAGAGACACAUUUUUUAGGAAUCCAUUUUUGCUCUCCAGCCUAGAAAAUUAGACAUUUGUAAACAUUUAAUGUGUCGAAAUUCAGUGUUUUCAUCUGGGUUUAUUGUCAACGCCGGCUAUAGGCGUGCAUAUAUUGGGUUGUUAUGCUUCCAUCAUCUGUUGUUUUAAAACAUGGAUUAAAACCAAAGAUAAUAUUAUUAUUAUUAUUUUAAUUCAAAACAAAUUUUACUAAUAAAAAUUUGAGGAAUUAUACAACGUUAGAGGACAAUCACGCUACAAACUGUGCUUCAAGCCCUUUCUAAAUAGCAAAACCAAUCCUACGAAAUAUAUAUUCAUGGAACCCGCCGUCAACACAUAGUUAUUCAUACCUUUUGUACCAUUUUGAGAAGUUCAACUGCUUCUGGUUGGUAUUAAUGUAGAAUAUUUCACUGAAACUCAGCAACCAAAGUACAACUAAGUUUGAUUAUAUAAAUUGCAGACUUCAUACAACACUAUUAUAUAUUUUUCCAAAGUAGAAAUUGCAGACUCCAUACAACACUACCAUAAUUUGUCAUCGGUACUACAUCAAGUAUAAUGAAAUUGCUUAUGAAUUUUUGAUGGAUAAUAAAAAAAAAUAGAUACUUUUUUUUGAUAAGGAAAAAAAAUAGAUACUUUAGUCAGACAGAUAAAAAAAAAUGAAUCAUAUUCAUGAAUAAAAACUAUCGUGCAGACAGGUUUUAGAAGAAGAAGAUUGCAAACAAAUAACAAAUAAAAGAAUCAAUUAUAUACUAAUGAAAUGUUCGAGGUGAAGAUCGAAGAAAAGGAUAUAUAACUAUAAAAAGGCAUGAAAAAUAAUUUAAUUUAAAGUAAAAAAAAUUUGGAUAAUAUCGGUAUUUUAUUAAUAUAUCUGCUGCACAAAUAUAUACUAGAAUUGCCUUUAUUGUUUUUUUUUUUUUAGGUUUCAAUUAAAAUUUCUCAUAGUGGUUAGCAUCACAUGUUCUAUUUGGCCAUACUCCUCCAUGCCUUCUCUUCGUAAAUGAACUUAUACCUCUAACCUCUGCGUAUCUCUCCUUACCGUACCAAUUAUAUACCUAAAUUUGAAUCACUAGAACAAACUUUGCAAUUAUGUGAAUUUAUAGUUAUCAAAUUUAAAUAGAACAAACAAAAUAUAUUCAUCAAAAUUAGAAUUUACUAUGCAAUAUACAAUUAAUUGACGAACGUGGCAGCGCCACGGGUAUUACUAGUCUAAGUUAUAAGACACAAAGGGUAUAUAAGUUGGGGAGACAGUUUUGAGAAGAGACAAUUUUGAGAGAUAUUUUGGACCGUCUGAUUUUAGAUGGACGACAUAGAUUAGAUUUUUGACUUAAGUGGAUGGUCCAGGUGUUUUAAUGGGCUUGGACUCAAUUCGGAUAGAAAAAGGGCCAGUUUUGAUGUUGCAUUAUAACAAUCAAAGCCCUAAUCCAAAAUUCUUUCUCUCUUUCUGCUAUUCUUCUAAUCUUUUCUCACCGGCCAAACCUUAAUCUCUUCCGCUAUCUCUCUCUGUUUUUUUCUCGGUGAAUAUAUCUUUUCACAUAUGUUCAAUCAAUGUUAUGGUUUCAGAAAUUUCAAUAUUGAUUUAAUAUUUAUUCUUUACCAAGUUCAAUCAAUCUUCUAUCUACUCUAUCAUGGUUUUAAGGCUUAAUCUGAUAAAAAAAAAUUUCUGGGUUGGCAUGUAGUUAUCGUUAGACCUCCAAUCGUGUUCAUCAUCCUGAGCAUCGUCUUCAUCUGGUUUAGCUGUUGCUACUGCCAAAUUACUUAAGGGGAAUUUUGCUACAACUUUGUUAAACGUAUUGAUUUUUAGAAAACAUGCCUACUCAAUUUUAGGUUCACCAGAAAAAUUCGAACUUUUUUUUAAAAAAAAACAUGACUACCAUUGAAAUAGCAAUGCAUCAUUGUAUUUGGUAUUGGUUAUUGACUAUUAAGCAUACCAGCAAUAUUGUUAAUAUCUAAACAGUACUGUCUUGCGACUUACAAAUUACAAUUACUUUGUUCAAUUUACCCAUGUUGUAAAUUUAAGAAGUAGAUAUUGGUGAAGGGGACCUGUGGGAAUGGAAUUAUCUGUAAAUUUGUUGUUAAGCAUCAAUAAGUUCUGUUGCUUACAUUAGCCCAAUUCGCUAGGAUUAUUCAUGUUUAAGUGACUUCUUUGCGUAAUGUAAUAGGUGAUACAUUGUAUCUGUCUUAGCAUUGUUAAAUGGGAAGCACAAACCUUUCAUGCACAAUUAUAGAAUAUGCAGAUACGCUUCAAAACCCUUUUUUCUAUGUAUGUCACAUUGUUUAUUAUGCAUAUGAAGCUUAAGAAAGAACGCUCAACAAAUGAUAAUCUAUUUUGUUAAUUUUUGUCAAUUUAGAACAAACGUAGAAUAUUGAUUAAAGAGAGUUUAACAAACGGUAACUAAGGCAGGUCCAAUCAGCAGUAAGAACUCCACAUUUGGUCCUAUGGUGUUAUCCACACUCGCCAACCAGAGCUCAAUACUUAAACCUGACGAAAGAAAAAGCAUGAGCUGAAACUUGACUGGAUAUUCUAAUAGGCUUUUGAGGCAUUUUGAUGAGAAAGAGCCAUAGACAUGCUUGGUUAAUGCCCACAAGCUACUGUAGAUAAGAAGCAAAAAUAUCCAUUCAACAAAAGAGCUCCAUAGUGAUUGCAAAUUUGGAAUAAUCAAGGUGAGUAAUGUGUCCCUAUCUAUUCUACUUGAUUAUAGACAGUAAUUUGCAUAGCAUACUCUAUUUCUUACCUAAAGCCUAAAUAGUAGUUUACAUGUUGAUAAAAUAUCUUAGUACAAAUCUCGAAGAUAUUUUAACGAUUUUUUAUUGAUAAAUUGAAGUUUAGUAAAAUUGUAUAGGAUCAAAAGGUUAUGUGUUUUGAGAAUAAAUUUGACAUUUAGCAUUGUAUGCAUAAUAAGUUGGAGUAGCUCAGGUGGUUAGAGCGUGUGGCUUUUAAAGCACAAGGCCGAAGGUUCAAGCCCUUCCUCCAACAUCUUUAUCUUCUUAGAAUAGUUUUACAUUUAGCAUUAUGUGCGUAGUACUGUCAUAGUUACUAUGCACUAAGACUUUACUUGAUCAGGUUUUUCUGCCAAUUAGAGAAUAAGGUCUUAAAGGUAUUAGGAACCUUAUGUUUAGUUUGUGGAUAAACCAUCGAUCUAAAAUACAAUUGUUUGUGCACAACAGUAAAUUUGGAGUUAGCUAAUUGCCUAUUGUCUACUGCAAUUGUUUAUUUGACAACUACAACAAAUGAUCUCCUAUGAGAUUGCCUUUUGCUUAUUGCAGAUUUAUCAAGUGAUGUACUGGGUAACUGGUGGUGUAGUGUCAAGUGAUGUACUGGGUAACUGGUGUUGAACUUAAAAUAUAACUGUUAAAUUCUUGACUUAAGGAGCUUGUGAACAUUAACUAAUAUGAAUAAAAAAUUCCUAGAACUUGGCUGAUUCCUUGGACAAUGAUAGUUCUUAAACAUUUAUUAAAAUUCAGUACCUUAUCCCUCUUCCUGGAGUGGUUAUUUUAAGCAAAUGAUUAUUCAACAUCAGCUGUUUUUAUAUUUUCUGUGGUUUUUAUUUGUAAGCUACCUGAUUUAUAACAUCUAUAUUUUUAUUUUUCAUUCAUUGUUCAAUAUUUUGCUCAUUUGUUCAUACUUUCUGUCAUUUAUUAUUUUUCAGGAAACCUACACUUGAUGCAGCCUAACAUCAUUGAUAGGUAAACUUUGAUGAGGUGGUUUUGACUGCCAAGAAAACUCAUGUACAUAAUGAAACCCCAAACAAGUGCAAUAUAAUAUAAUAACAAACAGUAAAUAAAACAAGAAGAAUGAUAAAGAACACCAGAGAUUUUAACGUGGUAAAACCCAAACUGGGAAACAUUCACGGUUACCUUGAUCGGUAACAAAUCAAUCCACUAUGUUGUAAGAGAUUACAAGCCUAUCAAGUACUACUGCAUACACCUGCUACUUGUCACUAUCGGCUAUCUCUAACACCCUUGGAUUUCACCGGAGAACCUUGAUGAACACAUAAAGAUCUCAAAGUCUAGAAAGAUAGAUUGCUCCUUUAGUAUCCCUUGAUAGUCACACAGUCACACAAGGAGAUCGCGAAGCCAAUAUGCACUCACAAAGAAAUAUGGAUUAUAGUGGAGAGAAGGAAGAAUCAAGAAGAAGAAGAUAGAAGAUGAUGUUUUUCCAUUAACAAACAAACACUCUCAAUGGAGAAAGAGACAACUAGAGAGUUAGGCUUUCUAAUGAGAGAAAACCUAUUUAUAUGGACUCUAGAAAUAAACACAAGUCCAAAGGACGAAACAACUUGCUGGAAGAAUUUCGUUCGAACCUAAAUGUUUCGUCCGAACCAAAUACCAGUUUCUGCAUGAAUAAAAGAUCUGGAAGAAUUUCGUCUGAACCAAAGUGUUACGUUCGAACCAAAUCUUGACAGAUUGAAAACUAAGAAACUAGAGACACAAGAUGAUAGAGAAAGGAAUAAGGAAUGAGACACAUACCAAGGUUCAUCCUAACAAUGAAGUCCGAGCGAGAUAGCCGAUCACACAAACACGAAAUGAUGUCAAACCAUGGAACCAAAUGUCGGUUUCACAUAACCGUGUCGAAUUGGUGCUGCUUUCUAAGUUCAAAAUCAGCAAUUAAUAUAGAGAAUAUGAUUAAAAAUUAGAUUUUUAAGUAGCUUUGGUUUACUUUUUCAAUAUACUUAUUUUUAGAAGCCAAAUUCGAUCAUUCUAACAUUUUGAUAUGAUGUGCAGGCCAGAUUUCCAAGACUUCACAUAGCUAUAUGCUACAAGCAGCUCGAUAAUAUUAUGAAAGAUUUGAUCACAACCAUGACCGUUUCCCUCCUGCAGAUUCCAUCAAACGUGGUUUUGUUUAAUUUAUGUUGACUGAUGGAAGAUUCGUGUAUGCCUUCCUCCUCCACCUCAUCCCCAAAUUCGUAGUCAGCAUGCCUGCCAAUAAGGAUAUUUUGCUCUGCCAUCUCUUGAGAUUGACCUUUCCAGCAUUGAGAUAGAAACAACUUUUUGCAAAAACCAAAUUCCAAAAUAAAAACAUCUGAGACAAAGUGAGUUCUGGACAUUCUACCACUUCCCUCAUGAGACAAACAGGAGUAGAAGGUAAGAUAACUAAUUAUUGUCUAACCUUAUCUGUAGACUGUAAACUGUAGAGGCUUCAAGAACAAUUUUGUUUGUGUCUGAAUCCACAUGUAACAUAUCAAACUCGGUGUACUUUAAAAUUCAAAAAAUGUUGAGUUUUUGACAUUUGUUGCAAUUUUCUAUAUUAUAUUUGUGGGUGUCUAUUUUCCAAUCUAAAUGCAUGUUAAUUUCCCCCAGGAUGGCCUGCUAAGAUGAUCUGUGAGUAAUAUUUACAAAUCUCAAGGCAGAUGUGCUAAGAGCUUAAGAGUAUGCUUUAGCGGGACUUGGAGUGGUCAACAACCAUGAAACAAAAUUUCAAGCAGUGUUCGGAGCAAUAGAACUUGGAGGAAACAAAAUAUAGGAAAAGUUAUGGAUAAAGAUGAGCUCACAGUUGGUGACUCAAUACUUUCAACAAAACAAGGUAACAUGGAUUGUCAAAUACCAAUGCAGAAAUAUACCAACGAUUAAAGAUAUCACAGGCAGGAAAACUUAUUUUACCGCUAUUCAAACUGUUGAACAAGCUGCAGGUCUGAAUAAAGGGGAGGAACAAUAGUUUGAUGAACAUCCUUCUUUCGUUAAGAGCAUAGAAGUGCCUCACCAUCUAUAGAUUUGAUUAGGGUGAUCAUAUGAGGGCUUUUUAUUUUGUCUCUAAUUGACACUUUAUAACAUCUGAAGCUUAAGUAUAUAGUCACAUAGUUAAGAUGUUGCUUACAAAGGCUAUUUAAUAGGAAACACGCUGGUCUGGAUUCCAAGCCAAUCAAGUUUUCAUUUCUUAUAAGCUAUUUGUUACCACAUUUGCUAUGUAGCAGCAGAAUCCAUGGUAUUUCAAUUUAAACUCAUUAUAAAUUCCUUUGUUCACAGAAGAACUCCUUAACAAUUUUAAUAACCAUAGCGAGUAGUGUAUCCCUAUCAAUUACUUAUAAUAUUCUAGAAAUCUAUAUUGCAUACUCUAUUUUUGUAGCGCCUCCAAACAUUAUUUUGCUUAUUGAGAUUAUUUUUUACCUAAUACAGAUUCCGAAGAUUUUAAAAAAACUUUUAUUGAUAAUUGUAGUUUAAUGGAAUUAUAUAGGAACCACAAGGCAAUGUGUCUCCAGAAUAGAUUUAACAUUUAGCAUAGUAUGCAUAUUAAGCUGGAGUAGCUCAGUUGGUUAGAGCAUGUGGCUUUCAAAGCACAAGGUCGAAGGUUCAAGCCCUUCUUCCAGCAUCGUCAUUUUCUUAGUAUAGUUUUGAAAUCUAGCAUUAUGUCCAUAAUAGUAUCACAUUUACUAUGCGUUAAGACUUAGUUGAUCAGGUUUUGAAAAAAAAAUAAUUUGGUGUUGUAUAUCCUUAUUAUCAGACAAUAGGGUCUUCAAGGUACAAUAUUAGGAACCUUAUAUUAGUUUCUGGAUAGAAGCUUCAAUGUAAACUAUUGUUUGUGUAGAAACAAUUUGCCCAAGGAAAAAUUUGCUACUAUGGCCCUGCUUGGUUACCCCGCAAAAAUUUGCAUGAAAUUUAGCCUAAUUUAAUAUGCUUGAAACUCUUGAUAAUUAGUUUUAUGCACAAAAUUUAUGCAAAAGUUUGAUGUUAUUUCAAAAAUGCAAAAAUUUUACACCUUUCUCUAAUAAACUAGUAGGGAACCAUUUAUGAUUAUCUCAUGUUUAUGCAAGGUUUAAGUGGGGGACCAAUAGGGUUUAAGCUAAAAUAGGUGGGGGUCCAUUCAAAUCAAAGAGUAAACUUUUGAGGGACCACUCUAACUAUAGAUGGGUAAAAAUUUGCCUUUUUUGCAGCCCAAACAAGCAGGGCCUAUAGCUAACAAAUAAUGUUGAAAUUGAAGGGUUCUCUAAAUUCCAAGAGAACACAUAUUGAUAUUGGAGCUAACAUACGACAAAUAUUACCACCACUGUUACUCAACCUCCAGAUUAUAAUUUUGCCUAAACAGAGCUAAAUUUGCAGGUUUCAGUUGGGCUCAACUGGUAAAACCUUUGGAUGAUGAUGCCAAAGGUCUGGGGUUCGAAUCUCUCCAACAUUACUGAGUUCCAAAGGAACAGGUACAAUUUUCUGAUUAUCUAUCUCCAGUUUCUUGUUUUUAUCAUUUAUGUUUUAUUAAUACAAAAAGCUCUUAUCUUUUGUCUUUUAUUAUCUCGAUAAAAUAAUUCGAUUUUAAAAUUAAAUGUUUAAUGAUCUUAUCUUUCAACGACCAAAAUAUUUCUGAUAUAAUAUUUCGACUAUUCGGUUGAUAAAUAUUUUCUUAAUUUAGAAUUAAAUGAAAUCUAUUAGCUUACUAUGACUAUUGUUGAUGUGAGGAUAUUGGUUAGAUUCUAGGAUUCAUAAUUAUGCAAGUUGAUUUGAGAAUUAUGCCAGUCGUGUUUGAAGAAUCACUUCUAUCAUUGCAACAUGGUUGUAGAAGGCGACAUGUCAAGACACAACAGUAAGCUGAGUGUGAGGGUGACUUUCGCAUGCUUUUAACCAAUCUCUUUAAAUUGCAACUUCGUUAUUUCUUUGCUUGACUGAACAGAUGUCCCUACAUCUGUACAAUUUUAACAUAGUUUAUGACUCAUAAUUUUUCUUUUUCACGAUUAACCUCAAUCAAAGUUUCGUCCUUUUACUUUCAGGUUUUCUGCAUGCACACCAAGAGUAUAACAACGGUAUGUUGUGUCUCUCUCUCUCUCUUAUUGAAUAGUCAUAGUGCCCAACUCAUAUAAUCUAAGAAGCCUGACAUAUAUCAUAUUAUGAUUGCACCUCAACUAUAGGAAAUUUAAUUGAACUCUUAGAGCCACAAUUUUGAUGAUGUUGAAUAGUUGUUGCCUAGAGUAUAAUAUACCUAUACCCAAGUAGUCAUCUUAACUAUAGAACCACUUUAGAGAUUACUAUAUCUUCGUUCUUUGAAAAUCUUAGUGUGCCUUAAACAACAUAUAUUCCCCCAAUCCCAUUGGUGUUCAAUUUUGAACACUUGUCAACCACCUCCCUAACUUCAUUUUGGUUCCAUAACCUCGACAUCCACUUAUCAUGGCCAGUGAGAGCCUGGAGUAUCAUUUUUGUAGCCAGAAUAAAUCUAGAAACAAUCCCACUAUAUUCAUUGUUGUAGCUAAAUCUCGUACUUUGUGUUGCCUGUGUGAGAUCUGGAGGUAAUUUUGGUAUACUUAGAAUAUCAAUCCCGUAUGGCUAUGAAAUGAUACAUCACAUUCAGAUAUACUGACAGCAUCAGAGAAACAAGUUGCUUACCAUGCUUAGAAUCUGAUUUAGAUUUCUAACUAUCCAUUGAAAUCUACUUUGUUUUUCUUGCCCUUUUUAACUGUAAAAGCUAUCCAUUUCAUGGGAUUGGUAGUUACAUAACUAAGACCCAUCGAAUUAAGGGUAUAAUGGGCAAACAAACUAUGAAUAGACGGAAACUUGGGGGUGCUUAACAGAAGGGGGUUUACGCUAAGCUUGGACAAUAUUAGGGGGUUCUCGCCAAAUCUGGUCAAAAUGUGGGGGGUUUUGACCAAAUUUCUCAUUUCUCAUUGAUCACAUGUAACUAAGUCAAAUUGAGCAAUUGUACGUGUAGGUGCUUCAAUCUAUGAUUCAAAUAGGCGUUCUUGUGCCUACAGGGGUCAUUACAGCAGUGAGAAGAACCGCACAGUUUAUUCUUAGCAGGUCCAUAGCAUUAAGAGGAAAUAAAUAUACCGUGAAAUUGCAUUAUUUUUGUUUUUUAAAUUUAUCUUCUUUGUGUUGAAUAUUUAUUUAGCAAACAAAGCUCAAUAUGUUACAACUUUGAAGAAGGCCUUGUAGCACGAAAAAGAAAGAAAGAAAGAAAGAAAGGGAGAUGGCUAAUAAAGAUCUUGGAUUUAACAAACCAUUGAGUAAGAAGAAGAAGAUGAAAAAAAAAAAGACACGGUUAGCAUCAAUUGGUAUAAACUAAAAAUCAAGUACGGAAGUAGAAUUUGACCACAUGAAUCAGUAUAGUCCUUGUGGUAUGGGGAUACUAUUCUCUAUUGAGAAUUGAUUGGGCUUGAAAAAGAAUUUGCUAUUUAAGAAAUGAGAUUGGUAUUUGUCAUUUACUUGCUUUUUAUAAGAUGGGAGAAAAACCAUUAAAGUUUUCAAGUAUGCCUUUAAACUGUCAUUCAUAAAUUUAUUUAAACUUGGCCUCAAAUGCUUAUUAUUAGUUAUUGGGCUGUCUUGGUCCAUAUUUCUAGCUGCGUGCUUCAGAACACUAAUUUAUUAAAUGCAACAUCUAGGCUCUCAUAGUUUCCAAUAAAAGAUUCACACUUGCUUGUACUUUCUUUAUUGAUGAAUCAUAGUGGUGCUAUAAAUGGUUGAUAUGUAAUUCUUUUUUAUUUUCAUGUUUAUAGUGCCAUAGGAUGCUUAAUACAUAGCCUUUUGUUUUGUGUUCACAGGAGAGGAUCUCUUAUCAAUUGCUACUAAUCAACCUAUCUGUUUUUUAGUAUUUCCUGGUAUGGUUCUUAACCAACCUACUAAUAUAAUGUACAGAAGUUAUUUUCUGAAUAUAAAUUUUUCAUUUUCUGUUGUUCCCUCAGUUUUUAUAUCUGGUUGUUAUAAAUUACUGGACAUGCUGAUCAGGUGUGUAUAAAACAUUUUUAUAAGAUCGUACCGACUGCCAGAAAAACUCAUGUACAUAACAGUGUCGAAAUGGUGAUGCUUUUUAAGUUCAAAAAUUGAAUCAACAGUUAAUAUAGAGAGUAUUAUAUGAAAAUUAUAUUUUCAAGUUCAAUUUUUUUUUUUUAAGUAGUUUCGGUUUUUCUUUUUCAGUAUACUUAUUUUCAGACGCCAAAUUCGACCAUUGGAACAUUUUGAUAUGAUGUGCAAGCAAGAUUCCAAGACUUCGCAUAGCUAUGCUACAAGCAGCUUGAAAAUAUUAUGAAACAUUGGAUUUUAAUGAGCCUUAUAGCUUCACCAAUAAUGGUUACAACACUUGCAACUUUGCUUCUGGCCGUUGUUCAAUACCAUUGGGGAAUUGCACUGCCGAGAAUUCUGACAAUUUAGAUUUACAAUUCCAUUCUAAGGUUUCAUGCAUUUUAUUAUUAUUUACAAUUCUAUCCACUUUGCAGUAUAACUAUUCUUUCUGUAGAAACAGUUCAGCGAAAAAGUUUACAAAUUUGUUGACACUAGCGUUGCGAAGCAACGGGUACAACUAGUAUAUAUAUAUAUAUAUAUUGGGCUGUCUAGGCUGCCAUCCUUAGGAUGACAUCCAUCUUGACAGCCCAUGUAGUGUGUUGAUUUUAAUCUGAUCCAACGUCUCAGAUUAGUUGUAUGCUUAUAACCUAAAACACUAUAAGGGUAAAUUUGUAAAUAGGCUAAUUAAUAUGCUUCCCUUGCCAUUUCUCAUGAAUUGAAUGUUCCAUUCUCACAACUGAACUUUUGAAGAAACCUCUCUCUCUCUCUUUCU
This 73125-nucleotide long non-coding RNA is filed under the name Aquilegia coerulea. RNAcentral describes it as "long non-coding RNA (ACOE_LNC001377)". The stretch from base 68893 to 68967 matches the Rfam family "tRNA". Lineage: Eukaryota; Viridiplantae; Streptophyta; Magnoliopsida; Ranunculales; Ranunculaceae. The record is from RNAcentral.